GUCGGUGGAGAUCUCCCACGAAACAGAGUUCUGAUUGGCCUCGGCAGGUGGGUGGGCGCCCAGAGGAACAGGGCGGGUGCGCUGCCUCUAGCCCCGUUUUAUCUCCGCUUCGGUCUCAUGGCUUCUAGAGUCUUCUAGAUGUAAGAUAAUUGUGCGGCACGUUAAUAUCUCUAUGUAAUCCCGACGUGUGGGCCUUUCUUCCGUAUUUCCUGAUAACCCCCUGCAGAAAUAGACAAACGCCAAAACUCGUGGAAUUCUGUCAGAUAAAACACUAAGUCUAGAUGUUGAUUUCAUUUGGAUCCUUUUCUUUGUUUAUUUGAUAAUUAAAUUUGAUACUUAAGGACCGUGAACAAACUCCCCCAAGCUUACCUCUUGCUCGUCCCUGAGCAAGGAUAGACUCAGCAAUGGAUCAGAAGUUGUUGCAAUAUCUUAAAAUUUUGACGGUACACAUGCUUUUAAAUAAGAUCUCAUCUCCGAGUUAGAGUAAACUGUCAAGAACUAAAACUUACUUUACCUUUCACAAUGGGACUUGUAACCAUCACUUCUGUCUUGAGUAGUUAAAAGAUAGAACAGUCUAGCCAAGUGCCAUGUCUCUUAUUCUUGAUCAGCUAUAGCUCUGGAGUUUUUGCAGAUUUUCAAAUAAAACUCAGAGAUUCCUUGUAUGACUCUCUAAAUCUCUCUUUUGUGGUAUUUCUGGAUCCUUACCAAGGCAGUGAUGGUAUAUGCCUUCUCUCAAGAUAUGUGGUAUUUGUGGUAUAAGGCAUAGUGACAUUGCCUUCUCUCUCACCCUACUCUAAUAAGGCUUUAAUAUGUGGAGCUCAUAGGUGGGAGAUAAAGUAUACAUACUUACAAGACAUUUAUUGUAUACUCAAACCAUGGAUCCAAAGAAACAAAUCAAUAAGCCAAAUCAAGAUGUGCAUGUGUGGCGAAUGAAUGGUGUAUGGUGAUGAUGGUGAUAACAAUGGUGAAAGUCUAAUUCUACUUUUGCUCUUUUGAGGGGAUACAUACCUUCCUUGCUUUUUGAAACUUUAUGAGGAGAAUGAGAUGCUCUAUCUUUCAUUUUUCUUUCCUCUCAGGUGGGUAUCCUGUACCCCUAAUUCUACUGUCGGACACUUGUCCAUUUUUACCUCUCGUCUCACUCUUUUUUUCUUUUGAGGUUCCGGGCACUUGCCCCUUUUUAUUUUCUCGUUUAUUUUUUUUCUUCUUUUUUUUCAGAGCACUCAUCUCUUGAGAUAAUAUAGCAAGUGGUAGUAGCAAGAUAACUUGAGCAUUUAUUUCACAAGGGAAAACAGAAAUAUUUUUGGCUAUUCUCUCCCGGAUUAGGAGUAGAAUAUUUUUGGGUGGUUCUGGAGAUGGACAUGGAUGGAUAUAUGUGGAUGGUACUUCCGGAGUAGAAGUAGCAUAUAUGAGUGAACGUGCAAGUGAAAUCUUGAUUUAAACACAUGACAAGCUCCUAAGGGUCUACACAGCUUGACCACACUCAAUGCUCAUAAUCAGUAAAUCAUAAAUGUGUGGCUCAAAGUCUAGCAAGCAUGUAUAUAUGGCUGUGGUAGGAAUUUAAACUCUCAUCAUACAGAAACUCAUCAUGCAAUAUUUUAAUGAUUUUUCAAAGAUAAAAUUCUCCAAAAUUCUAGCAUCUCUAGGAAUAGAUAAACAACAGCUCAACCUUCCCAUAUCAUAUCCGUUAACAACUUAGAUUACAGAUCAAGGUUUCAUCCCAUAAGUUUAGAUCUAGAGCAAGCUUUAAAUUAUAACAGUUAUGUCUAAACUUGAGAGAGAACUUCAAAUUUGCAAAUUAUGCAGCGCAACUAUUCAUCAUAUCCAUGCUAGAGUUUUAUUAUUAAGAUUCAGAUUAGCAUAGCCACUUUAUUUAUUUAUUAAACACACUAAGCAAAAGAUAUAUAUAUAUAUAUAAGCACAAAAAUCUUUAUUUGGUUUUUCAUAGUUUAUGUAUUUUAAUAUUCUAAUAUAAUAUAAGUAUAAAGAUAGGUAGAAAUACUUAGCGAGAUAAAUGGGGGUGCUCUCCCCCAAGCUGAAUUUUGACAUAAUUUCUCUUGAUGUAGCUAGCAGGUGGCAGAGGUGUAUUUGAAAGUCAGCAGCAUUCUGACAGCGAUUAGAAUGUCCUCCGUCUGCUAGUCUUCUUGAUUCUUAAAUUUUGUGGAGCUCAAAUAGACAACAAAGCUUGUGGAACUAAUUAAGUGUUAGCAUAAAUAUCUAGCCUUCAUCAUGUUGAGCUUCCUCAAUAAAUAUUACUCCCUGUUUUUAUAUUUUUAUUUUAUAAAGCAGAAAAGAAAUAUUUAUUUUAUUUUUAUGCCACCACAGUGAAGGUACUUAUGGGUUUUAUGCCACUCGUAUACUCACAUGGGGCUUAGUAUUUUUUAACAUUUUUAUUUUCUUUUCAAAAUAGCAUGAUUAACUAAUAAUCUAUUUAAGGAAAGUAAAUAAUUAAAGGGAAAAAGGGAAUGCAGAAAGGAUAAAUAUGGAUAACUACCGAUCUUACCUUUCGGCAAGGGUUCAAUGUUUUAAGUCUUCUUAACAAGACUGCUCACCGUGUUCAUUCUUCAGGUGCGUCAUUUGAUUCAGGUGCGGACCUUGACGUCUGCACAUCUUGAUACGGUGUCACCCAUGUUCUUCAUUUGCCCAGCAGUUCGAAGUGUAGCGUUGGCAGCUUCCUGCACAGUGUGUUUGUGCUCGUAGUGUACCUGCUCAUAGAGACAAGGCAGAGAUCAAGUGCAUGGGUCCUGUUGGUGGAAAACACCAACAGAACCUAAAGUGUAUUUGUUCUUCUCUAACCCUAAGCAUAGUGAGCAAGACAAAGUUGAUGGAUGAAAAGUUCAUGAGUGUAGCACUUAUAGCAUUUGUCAGAUCAGAUCGCUCAACCUUAUGGAGAGAUAAUCUAUCUAUGUAUAUGUCGUUUUCUUUAUAUCUCUCAAUGAUUGAAUGUGUAACAUUUUAGCUCAUAUGAUUAGGAGUGUGGGAUCAUGGAGGUAGUACUAAGAACAAGGAUUAAAGGACUAAGCAUGUUGAAUUAGUUGGGUUGGUUAAUCUAGAGUUGCAAAUCAUACAUGUUUGUCUCUUUUAUUUAUAUGAACGCUAGAACCAAGGAGAAGCUUAUAAAAGUGAUAGUCCAGUACCUUAAGAUGUUACCUUGCUUGAAGAGUGAUGGUACAGUAUUAUCUUAUGGAAGCUUUCCUUUCUUAGUGGUUGUGCAUCGUGUUUGUGGCACCCUCCAUGGAUCAUCUCUCUAUGAUGAAUGAGCUAUGUCCUUCUUGUGCAAAUUGUUAAACUUCAUGUGUCACUCUCUUCGUCUCUGAUGUGAGUUUAUCUCAGGACUUCCCAAAUCGAUAUUGAAAGUUUUUCUGCAGGGGUUAGUCCGACAAAAAUAUACCAAUGUCUACACAAGCAGUUUUUAGUUCAAUAACCGAACUAGACUCCAUGUCUAACCAGAUUAAGGAAGGCUAUUUAACCUAAGCACCAUGAUUAAUUUAAAAGCCAAUAGAAGUAUGUGCAGUACUUCCAAACUAACACUUACUAGUAAAUAGACAAAGGUAACAUGACAACAUUUAUAGAGAUCUACUCAAGUGGAGAUGAAGUAGUGUGAUUAGUAUUUAACAAAUUGAGCAUGUCUCAAAGGUAGGGACAACCAACAUAGCAACAUGGCAAAGGAUGAUUUUAUGUAAAGUACUCCCCCAAGCUUGAAUUCUGCAGAAUUCAAGUUCGGAUGAAUUUAAUUCAGUGUUGCAUGAUGAUUGGUUGGACAUACCUUGUACUUGCUUGUCAUUCAUCCGAUCUUCUUGCUCCAAUCCUGGAAAGGUUAGUGACAAGAAUACCCGAAGGAAUAUUUUUACAAUUAUCCUUAUAUGCUCAAUACACAAGGUAAUGUUGCAAAUAAUUAAAAACUCAUGUUACGAUCUGAUCAGUGCUUAUUUUAGGACACCAAGCUUGUCCUUGGGAAACCAUCAAUUUAUGUCGGCGAAGUGGUUUCCCUUCCAACGCUGACCUAAAUCAAGAUCAACUCAACGAGAUCUGCAAUAUUUAUUAUAGACAUAUGCAUCGACAACCGCCCUUUUAAAGUUUUUAUAAAUAGAAAGGAAGAGGGGGUUGGAGAUCUCAAAUGUGGUGAUGUUGGAGAGACCAAUAGAUUGGGAAGAUGUUGCACAUGAGCAUGGAGUAAACAAAGUGGCUAUGAAAUAAAUUCCAUGCUCAUUAAUGUUAUCUUCGUCUCCAAUCUGAAUGUUCAGAGUUUCUCUUGGAUUGGUCUCACUUAUGUCCUCUUCUAUAGUUGGAUGAAUCUCAUCUUCAAAGAGAGUCAAGAACUCACCAUUUGAAAUUGAACCAAAGUCAGAAUUCAUUAAGGCUUCUUCCAUAUCCAUCCAUUCUACACAUUCUAGCCAUUUAGACUUGUGAUCAGGAAAGGGGAGGUGUUAGAAUUUUCAAUAUGGCUUAGCUCUCCUUCAAUUGAUAUGUCAUCCUCGACUUCUUCAUAACAGGAACCAGGACCUUCUCUAAGAAAACCAUUAUUGCGAGGAUUUGAAUUAUCCCUGCUUGAAGGUCUCUUAUGGAACCAGAAGUCUAAACCAUCAGCAUCUGAAAGAUUUAAGGUCAGAAUUCCUUCCUCCCUUGGAGAAUUUUGGGGUAUUGAUGGUUUAGGAUCGAUAGCUAAAGUUUGGAAUUGAAGUGGUUGUGAUCUGGCUAUCGAAACUUCUUCUUCUUGUCUAGGAACAGGUUCUGUCUCUUUCUCAGGGAUAUAAAAGCUAGGAGACUUUCCACUUAAUAAAUCAAUCAAAUUCCAAGCUUCACUAGCAGGUAGGUGAUAGAAGGAUCCUCUAGAGGAUGUAUUCAAGGUUUGCUUAUUUUCCCCAUUAAGGCCCUCAAAAAAGUGAAUUAGAAGAACUUCUUCUGGAAUAGAAAGCUUUGGGCCAGUGAGAGUAAGGUUAAUAAAGCGGUCCCAUGAUUUCCUAAGAGAUUCUUCUUCCAGUUGUCUAAAAGAAAUAAUCUCACGCCGAAGUUCUGCCACUUUGGAGAUUGGAAAAUAUUUAGAAAGAAAACUACUAUAUAACUCCUUCCAAUCUCCAUGAACACUUCCUACUUUGAGUUUGUACCAAUGUCUGGCUUUUCCCGUUAAAGAGAACGGAAAGAGCUUCCAUUUAAGGGUCUCAUCGGACAUGCCUUCUAUGCGAAGGAGGUCACUGACUCGAUAAAACUCUCUUAGGUGUGUGUAUGGGUUUUCCUCACCUUCUCCUGAGAAAGGUUGUUUUUGAACAAAUUCUAUGUAUUCGGGGUCUAUCUCAAAACUAGAUGUCAUGAUAGGCUUUGAAGAUUUUGGUGGUUCGAGAUGUGUGCCCGUAGGUCUAUGAAAUUCAUAGAUAGACAUGUUUGAAUUCAAGAUAGACCAGAGAUCAAGGAUUAGACAAGAAGAAAGAUUAGCAGAGAUGAGGCAAAGGAUAAAAGGAAAAUAUUUUUUUUAUUUUUUUAUAAAAUGAUUAAGCUAGUUCGUAGUCAACUCAGCAACCGUUUCCCCGGCAACGGCGCCAAAAAUGCUUGUUGACACUUGCUAACACCACUUGAAUACUAGGUUGUCAUCCCCAGCAUGGCACUAGAGUGUACUAUGGUAUUUAUACGCACAUAGAUAAUCCACAAGCGCAUGGAUACCGUUGAAGCUUUUACCUGGUUAAAGGUUUAUCGUAUCCACAGGGAAACGGGAGAACCAACUACGCUCUAACUCAACCAAGAUAGAUAGAUAGGUGUAAAUAGGAAAGAUGGUAGAAUCGAAUAAGAACAAUAUUAAAGGUAAGAUAACACUGAGUGAUAAUAUGGGAAUAGAGAAUAGAGCAAUCUAGUAUAUGGGCGAUGGUAGCAGAAUAGAGAGGAUAACUAUGGUUUCUCUACUUCAAAGGGGUAUGUCUAUGUCUGGGACGAACCAUGUGAUAAGAGUACACCACAAAGGAUGCUUAUCCUUAGGCCGAUAAACCCUACCCGUCCUGCUAACGAGAGGUGGACUACAGAGGACCAACGUAACUAUCACCUACGUGGCCUACCACACGAUCCAGCUAGACAGGGGAUAUCCACAAGUAAUCUAGACCUAAGCACCUCGCUUACACAUAUACUACAACUCUAACCUAUAGCGUCCUAUAGAUUAGAAGUACUCAAAAGAGUUGUGAACCAGAACAUACAUGAUUAGUAAUUGCAUAAUGAAUUAGAAGUAGAUUACUAGAGUCAUCCCAUGAGCAAGCUUGAUUAGAGCUUGAUCAUGACGAAGUACAACUGGAGGAAGAACCGACAGGCCGGCCUCUCCUCUAAUCCUCCUUUGCUCUCCAUCUUGCUACUAUCUAGAUCUACUCUAGUUUAGAGAAGAGAGGAGAGCUCUCAUCUCUAAACCCUAGCUUUUGCUCGGUCUAUGAAUAAUGAAUAAUGAUCAAGGGGUGCCUCCUCCAGGGGCCAGGGGGUCUGGUUAUAUAGUCCCUUCAAGUGAAUAUGGGUCGUUGGAUCAAACCGACUUAGAUUGUAUGGUUUAGAUUGAUCCUUUAGGUCGGUGGAGAUCUCCCACGAAACAGAGUUCUGAUUGGCCUCGGCAGGUGGGCGGGCGCCCAGAGGAACAGGGCGGGCGCCCUGCCUCUGGCCCCGUUUCGUCUCUGCUUCGGUCUCGUGGCUUCUAGAGUCUUCUAGAUGUAAGAUAAUUGUGCGGCACGUUAAUAUCUCUAUGUAAUCCCGACGUGUGGGCCUUUCUUCCGUAUUUCCUGAUAACCCCCUGCAGAAAUAGACAAACACCAAAACUCGUGGAAUUCUGUCAGAUAAAACCCUAAGUCUAGAUGUUGAUUUCAUUUGGAUCCUUUUCUUUGUUUAUUUGAUAAUUAAAUUUGAUACUUAAGGACCGUCAACAAUGUGCAUUACAUAUGCUUGCUUGCAUAGCACUAUUUUUUGAUACAUACUUAUGUGAUGUUUGCUAGUUGUAAAAUUAAUUUAUGAAAUGAAAAACUAGCAUGUGUAGGAUAAUAGUUAGAUGUGCCAGCAUGUUUUGUUUUUACAAGUGGUACUAGAGCCUUGUUUAUAAUGUUGAUCUCACGAGGUAUCUAGUGUUUAUGUUUGCAAGAGCUAUCUAACUAACCAUGGUGCCAAGGAUGGUGUUCAAAUGGCAACUCUGAUUGGUAUCACGCUUCAAAGGUCAUUCUUUACACCUUAGCAUCAUUUGGUAGUCUUUGUCUCCUAUGUUUCCUAUCUAAGCAUAUGUGCAAGCUUUCAAAUCCAAACUCUUAGCACAUAUGUAGGGGGAGCCAAUGCUACCAAUUUGGGUUUAUAAAACUUAUCCAUAUCCUUUACACAUGGUAAAAUGCUUCGGCAAGCAACAUGAACCUAAAAAGAUUUUAUUGAAUAUCUUUGUGAAAAGGUUGUCAUCAAUUACCAAAAAGGGGGAGAUUGAAAGUCCUAGUUUGGUUUUGGAUAAUUGAUGAAACCUAUGUGUACUAACCUUUGUCAUUAGUGAAAUAUAAGGAUAGGUCGGUACACACCAAGUGAUGGAGCCAGGUGAUGGUCAUGGUGAUGGAGGUGAUCAAAAGAUGAUAUUCAAGUGCUCCAACUUGGAAAAAAGAAAGAUAAAAACAAAAUGGGCUCAAUGUAAAGGUAUUUUUAUUAGGGCCAUUUUGUUUUACCACUCAAGACACCUAGCGGGUGUGAGUGGAUUUAGGAUAGAUAAUUGUACUAUAAAGAGGGGAAAUCUUUAAUUGCAAUAGUUAUGUAGUGCCACUAAGUGUGAGUCUCAUUUGCAUAUACCUAGCACUUAGUGACGUGGUGAGUUGCAUGAGAAAGCCUAUAAAAAUGAUUGUGAAAUGCUAACACACAUGCAGAUGUGUUGGCAUUUCAUAGCAUCAUCACAAAAGAUAGACUAAAAAUCCAUCCCUGCAACAGCGCCAGAAAGCCUGUUGACUCUAGAAGUGGCAAAUGGAAAUACCGUAAGCAUAUGGUAGUCAAUGUAGCUUUCACCGGGAGUAUUCCAGGUAUCGUAUUUUCCACGAGGAACGUGAAGUGAACUAACUAGGCUCAAGGUCAUCCAAAAGGUCAAGGAUAGGUAAGGAUAGGUAAGUGAUCUCACACAGAUCCUAAUCUAAAGAUAACUGGUAGAGAACUAGCGAGGUGGGAGGACAACGAGUGAGAAAAGACUCCUCUGACUCUAACUUUACUCCUGUGAACCAAUCUAAUCUAGUAGCAGACACACACUAACGUUGCUAAACUUAACUGCUUGUUUGCUGGAAGUCGACUGCAAUAGGAGGACAAAACUCCUAUCCAAGCGGACUUGUUUCCUAUGGGCGCCUACAGAUCAGACCCGACAUGAAUAGAACCUAUUGGGAAGCAGAGGCCUGUCACGCUUCCCGCCGCCCGCUAUCACGUUUGAUACGGUGGUAUUCAAGGGCAGGCUUUAGUCUAAGCGGACUCAUUUGGAAACGUGGAUGGUGUAUUUUCCUAGCAAAAUUUUUGUUGCUUUCUCCCAAUAUAGGAGAAGAGAAUUUUUUUUUGGUGGAUGGAAGGGUGCAUGUUGCGCGCAAUCCUCAGUGUAAGAAUUGGCUUUAUUUGGUGGGUGCAAAGUGUGUCUCAGUCUAAACAUAUGACUCCAAUCUAUGUUAAGUUCAAUCCUUGACAAAACCCCAACAAUAACAAGUAGCUAUGGCUAAAGUAUGUAUUUAUAUAUAUAUAUAUGGAGCAUAAAUGUUUGGCCUUGGUAGGAAUUUUAUAAUAUUUGAGGAACCAUUGUUUUUAGAUAUUUUUCUGAAUAAAUUCUUUGAUAAUCAUGCAAGCUUAGAAAUAAAUAUAGCAGCUCUUGUCUUACUAUCUCAUAUCUCACAACUUAGUCGUAGUUUUAGCACUUGCAACCCACAGAAAGAAAUCAGGUUCAUGGUGGUCUUAAGUGAGCCAAGUGAUUCAUACAUAGAAAAAUACUAAGUUGAGUGCUAGAUACUAGAGAAAUAUUAACAGAGAAACUAUUCAUCAUUUCCAAGAGAAAGGUGGCAUGCAUGGCAAUAUUUUUGGGAUUUUUAUCAUAUUCAAAUAUAUAUAUUAUUAUUUUUAUUCUUUGUUAUUUUUUAUAUUUUUUAAACAUGAAGCAUAGAACAAACUACAAUUGCAAUAAAUUUAAAAGAGCUAAAAUACUUACCUUUGUGGGGGAGAGGAUCUCCUCCAAGCUUGUCUCUUCUCAUGCCUCCUCACUGAUAUGGUGGAUAGUCAUAUGGAUAUGGUGGAGGAUAUGAGGGCUGCUGAGGAUAUGGUGGAGGGUACUGUGGACAUGGGUCUUGCUGCUACUGUGGUGGCAUAGGGAUGAAUGGAAUAUUUGGUGCUAGUGGCCUCUGAUAGUGUGCAUACAUCCUGUUUAAGCUUAUGUUGUGUUGGACUUGGAGAUCUAGGAGGGCUUAAUAGGUUUGAGUUGCAGUGUUUUGCAUAGCCUCAUGUCCAAUGCAUAGCACACCAAUUUGUUGGGUUAGCAUGUCCAUAUCAAUGCGUUGAGCACGGGGCUGUGAAUCCUGCAAAGAAGAACAAGAUAUACGGCCACUCUGGGCACCAGACCUGCGUCCCAAAUGGGGCAUCUGCAUCCCACUAAAACUUCCCUCAUAGUUACUAUCAUCAUCAUCACCUGCAGCUCGUGCUUUUGCACGUGUGGUUGGUCCUGUAUGCCUCAUAUGUCUUUUGCACAUAGGGAGUAAUGGGUUGCCACUAUAUAUUUUUAGUUCUUCGCAGGGCAACAGAAUUGUUUCAUGGGCAUUAUAAACUUUUAAAAACACAGUGUUAUUUGCUCCUCCCGUAAGAUAUUGGCCCUUGAUAUAAAAUCUUUUGUGCAACACAACUCUAGGAGUAGUUAUGUAUCUAUCAAAGUUAUUGAGCAGAUUAAGGCGUGCACAAAAUUUUGUAACCAUAGAAGUAAAUUCAAUGGUUCACCUCCUCGGUUGGGAUGAUGCCCAUAACCAAUACAUAGCCAUUUCUACCACUAGUGAAAUUGGAAUUUUAUGAACCAUGGCAAAAAGGAUUCUAGUGUCUAUUUCUCUGACAGUUCUUAUGUCAUCUCGAGGGAUCAAAGUUAGUCCUAUCCACAGGUGCAAGAAAAGCAAGGUAGGAUUGCAUAUGUGACUAGUACUUGGUUGCCAUCCCACGUAAUUUUACCCAAUGAUAUCAUACCAAAAUUCUUUCUUGUUCAUGUCUUAGUGGCAUGCUCAAUUUUAAUGUUGGGAAUAUCAAAACCAAGACAUGUAGAGAAAGCAUCCCAUGGAAUGUCAAACUCACUAUUAAGCAUUUUAAAAUAAAUUUUCUCUUUUGUUAUUCUUAGAGUGCUUAGAAAUUCUAGGGUGAGAAUUUUACUUCCUUUUACAUUAAUGUAAAUACCGAAAACGUAUUUCAAAAUACACUGAGUCGGUUUUACGCUUUCAUGUAAUGGAAAACGCAUUUUGCGGAGUGCGCUGAUGGACUGCGGGUUUAUACUUAAAAAGGGCAGGGGGUCUUUAGAAAAAUUUCAAGUGAAGGGGUAAGAUAUGUUUCGACCCUUGAUCUCUAAACCGACGGCUACGAUCCACCCAGGGGAGUGACGCUGUCGACGAAAGCUAGUCGGCAGUCUACCUUGGGGUAUACCCACGGUAGUAGUUUAUCGGUAGACGGUGCGUGAACUACGAACUCGACGGUGACGCAAGACACGGACAAGCUUUUUAUCCAGGUUCGGCCGCCGAGUUGGCGUAAUACCUACGUCCUGCGUCUGGUUGUAUUGAUUUGUGCUGAGAGAAUAUGAUGUCCUAGGGGGGUCCCUUGCCCCUCCUUAUAUAGUCUGGAGGGCAGGGUUACAGAUCUAGAAACUAAUCCUAGUCGGCUACAAUUGCCAUAGAUAAUUCGACAUCAAUUCCUAUUCUAACCGACUAGAAUCCUGCUUGAUCUCCACGUCUUGUUUCCUUGUGCGAAACUCCGAGCUGUCGGAUCAAACCUUGAACUCGUCUCGUAGUGGGCCAAGCUUCCUGGCUAAAGUCUAGCCGUAAGGGUAUAGGGGUUUAUACCCCCACAGCUAGUCCCCGAGCACCAUGUAUUGUGAUGCAACACGCCGUCUUGAGCUUCUUCGAUCAGCGAGGCUUGUCGUCUUCAAUAAGUUGGAAAAUCGCCCAAACAGUCACAACGGUUCCUUGACCAACUCGAAAGACAGUUGAUCAACAUUGACGUCGAAGAAACAGGUUGUUCGAAGAAUGCAUGGUGCUCUAGAAAAAAUUUCUUUCCCGGUGAAGUGUGCCCACUUUACCUUUUUGAAAGGUAGAGGAAUCAAAAAAGCAAGCAAAUUCACUGCUAGGUGAAGUGUGCCCACUUAGUCCCCGAGCCUGGUAGUAGGUGACGUAGGCACGUGGUGCCAGGGUCAAAAGAAAAUUCCCCAAAGUAGUUUUGAGACUGAGAUGCAUCGCUAGAUGCAUCGUACCGAUGUAGUCCCCGAGCUUGCUGGAAGGCAAAGUAUGAGCCUUGUAGCAAGGUCUAAAAAAUUGAAUUUACCAGUCCCCGAGCAUGUCAUGCUCGUCUGCAAUUGAAAAGACCAAUCGACCAGUCCCCAAGCACUUAGUGUGCUUCUUGGAAUUAUAUGUUGCUAUACUGUACGACCAGUCCCCGAGCGUCGAGUGCUCAGUGGUCGGUGCAUGCUUUAAAGCUUUGAGCUGAUAGACUGAGCGACCAGUCCCCGAGCGUCGAGUGCUCGGUGGUCGGUGCAGUCCUUGAAGUUCCGUGCUGAUAGAAUGGGCGACCAGUCCCCGAGCGUCGAGUGCUCGGUGGUCGGUGCAGUCCUUGAAGUUCCGAGCCGAUAGACUGGGCGACCAGUCCCCGAGCGUCGAGUGCUCAGUGGUCGGUGCAGUCCCCGGAUUGUUGACUCACUGGCGUGUGUGUCUUCUUACUUUUGAAAAGGUCUUUCCAGUUAAAGUUGACGUGACGGGGUCUCCUGACGAUAUGUCAGACGGAUGCAUGAAAAGCUGCACCUGGCAACUGUACAACCGCUCUUUGCAUGGUUUGAGAAAAGGAAACCAUCAAUUGGUACGAAAACUCCGCCGCAUUAAUUGUCUAUAAUCAUUGUAAACCGAAACGCCGCGUCCGCCGCAUGGCCUGCCCACUUCCCGAGAAUACAGGAAGUGGGAGAGGUGGGAUCGCAGGUUUAUAAGGGCCUAAUAGGACCGGCUGUACCGCUUCUCCUGCCAUUGCCUUCAAACCUUCCACUCUCAUCUCCUGCAUCUUCCUAACUCCAGCCCGCAUUCGCACCUCUAAUGGCGAAGAGCGACUCCAGGAAGAGGGCCGAACUGAUGGCCAAGGAGUGGAAGAAGUCUCGCAGUACCACAAAAUCUCUUGGUGACCUCGUCGAUAUGGGGCUUCUGCACGGCGCAGAGCUCGGCGGCUGGAGGGCACCGGAGGGGGAGAGCUACCCCGACCCUCGCGCCGGUGAGAUCGUCGUUUUUGAAGAUUUCGUUAAGAGAGGCUUUGGUGUCCCUGUUCAUCCUUUUCUUCAAGGUCUUCUUUUGUACUAUGAGAUCGGGAUUUGCAAUCUGCACCCGAACUCAAUUCUCCUUAUUUCCACCUUCAUCCACCUGUGCGAGGCCUAUGUUGGCAUAGAGCCGCACUUCGAUCUUUUCCGGUAUCUUUUCUGUCUGAGGAAGAAGGGAGCAGUUGGAGGCUCCAAGGUUGCAGGUGGAGUAUACCUCAACCUUCGUGAUGGGAUGAAGAAUCGCUACCUGCACUGCCCAUGGAACACUUCCUUGACCGAAUGGUACAGGAAGUGGUUCUACAUCAGGGAGGAACCGGGCAGCUCCACGUUCUGCGACGUGGGAUACGUUCCCGAGAAGAGGGCAAGCUGGACCGACCGCCCGGAGUUCGACGGUCCAGUGGCGGAUCUCAUGAAGCUGAUCGACUGGUCGCGCCUAGACGGGCUUGGCGUGGUCGGCAACUUCAUUUGCCGCCGGGUGAUGCCCUGCCAGAAGAGGGUGCACUCGGCGUACGAGUAUGCCGGAAGCGCAGACCCGACCAGGAUGCGGUCAGAGAUCUUGGAGAAAGCGGAGGUACAACAGCUGUUGAAUGAGCUGUUUAACUUCGCGGAUGGGGGCUUCAUCCGUGGCAGUGAUCGGGUGCAAGCCUUCAAGUUAGGACGACCAGCACCAAAGGUAUGUAGCAGAGUCUGUUUGAUCAUUCGUAUAUCGUCUGCAGUUAACUCAUCUCUGUUGCUUUUGCAGGUCGGUGAUGUCGACCGGUGCGCAGUGUAUGUAUCACUGGCACCGGGGAUGGAAGAUCCUGUGGGAGAGGUCCCGCCAGAGGGGGACGCUGCUCGGUGUGCUCAUUACACCAGCAGUGAGGAAGACCGAGCCCGCCCCGUCCCGACCUCCGAGGAGAGGGUAGCGGGGAAAAGGCCAUUGCCGGCAGAUCCCUUGCCGACACCGGAGCUGCCGGCAGAUCUACCGGCGGAGAGCAGCCAAGCGCCGAAGCGUCGUCGGCUCGUGCGGAUCGUCGACGACGACGACGAGGAGGAGGCUGCGCCGUCGUUGGUCCGACGGCCUCGGAGCCGCCCAGACACUGCGCCGGUCGCCACUGAUCGAGUGGCCAGCGGCGCCGCUGCCCCGCAAGGUGUCGAGACGGGGGCACAGGUGCCGACCGGACGGGCGAGGAGGAGGUUCACCGCGACCCACCGUCGGUCAGACCUGUAAGUGUUCGACUUACGUAUUUUGGACUCCUCUUUUUUUUUAAAACUUUUGUUCCUGUAGUGCGGCAUCGGAUGUCGACCCUGGUCAAACUGUCAGCCAGGGAGCGGGCGAGCCUGCCCGCGGUUCUGGGGAUGCGGCCCCCCAGACCACAGAGCAGCCAACAGCUGCAGUCGCGCCUGGGAGCACCGAGGGGCUCCCGAGCGCGGCACCGACUACAACAAGCAGCCCGACCAGGGCUGGAGAGGCUCCCCCAACUGACUCCUCGGAGAAGGGAAGAUCUCCGACGGCUCCUCCUGCCGGGGGGAGUGAAGUCCCCCCGCCGCCCCGAGCAGGAGCCUCUUCGGCUGCGGGCUCCCCAGGUCUGGUCCGAGGGACAGUAAUGCCUGGGACCACCACCGGGGGUGACGCAGCACCGGAGGAGGAAACCCGGGCGGCCUCCGACGACGAGGUGGAGGAGAUCGAGGGUCGUCCCCGUGAUGGCCGCCAACACGUAUAUGUGUGGCGCCAACGCGGGGAUCACUUUAUCGGUCAUGAGGAGGUCGCCGAGACCGAAGAGGCCGCCAGGGUGGAGCGCGCGGCCAAGCGCCUUGUCGACGAAGUCAAGGUAAGCGGCUUUUUGUACUGCUGCGCAUUCUUUUGCCUUGUCUUGCUUGAUCGUUAUAUGCUUGCUUUGUAGGACGUAAUGAAAACGGCGAAGUACCGGAAACGGUGCUUUGACCAGAUAGAAGGCGUCAUGGCCGAGAACAAGGCCCUUGCCGCGGAGGUAGACCGGUUGCGGGCGGAGGUCGGGGAGAAGGUGGUCAAGAUGAGCGCCGAAAAGGAGCGUUGUCUCGACCUCGCUCGUCGUCUGGCCGACCAGUACCGGCUGCAGGAAGGUUAGUCACACGCUCCGAGCAGUUUCGCGUACUUGUAUAGUUUGCUUUGCUGACCAGUUUAGGAUUCACGCAGACUUGGAGGAGGAGGUGGCGAGCCUCCAACAAGAGAAGGAGCAGCUCAGCCAACAGCUCGCCGGUGCGCAGGAGUCCGGGCGGCGAGCGGAAGAGGAGUUGGGUCGAAAAGACCGGGAGUUAGCUAGUAAUGGGUGCCGCCUUGUUGGUUGCUGCCUGCCCCUUUGCUUGUCUGGUAUGCCGAAAGUAACGUUUCGUUUUGUUUGCAGUGCUCAAGGUGAACACCAAAAAGCACCUGGAUGACCUGAUCAAGGACCGGGACUCCUGGAAGGCCAACUGUUGCAGGAUCUGGAAAGGAGUGUCCCCGGUCCUAGAUCUGCUCAGCCCCGAGCUCCCGGAGAGCCAGCCCCGCGCGCCGCAGUUGACCCCGGUCGAGAAGGCGCAACGGGCGUGGGACUGGCUCCAGCAGUUUGUGAAGGACGCCGGGGAGUUUGCCGGCGCGCACGUCCUCAGCAUGGUGCGCGCCCACUACCCCCUGGUCGACUUGAGCAGGCUGGAGAAGGGGUACCCGAAGGAAGUCGGCCCACAGGAAGCGGACGAACUUCGGGGUAGUCUGCUGGACUUGUCGUCGACAGUGAUCGGCGACAUCAAUCUGUGCGGGACGGCCACUCCUCCAGACCAGCCGAGCUCAGAUAGGUCGGCCAGGGAGUUGUCGGGCGCGUCCGUUGCGGGAGAUGGGCGGUCGACGCCUGCGGUCUCGACCAGCCAGGCGCCGGUGGCCCCGACCCCUUCGUCCGGGCAGCAGGGCCAAGCGGGUGAUCAACCCGAGCAGCUAGGCCAAUAAAGUAGUCUGUAGGAAUAGACUAGUGUCUGCCCGUCAGGGUAUUUAUUGUAAACUUUGUAUGUAAAGUUUGUAAUAAAGAUUGCUUUCUGUCAUGACUGUUGUUUUGAGCGCUGUAAGAAUAUCUGAGUGACGUGUCACCGUAUUUGUCUUGGUUGUCGCUAAGAGCAUCCGUUGCAGGAGUUUUGCCGAGUGCUGUGUGUGACAAGGUAUGGGCCAAAAAAUAGAGAAUUUCAUUAUCAAAAAUUAUAAGAUACUUACAAAAGAAAGUCAUUAAAAAUCUUUAUGGAUAGAAACGUCGCAGCUUGUCGAUGUGCCAAGAGUUAGGCACUCGUGUUCCGUCUGGGUAUGCCAAUCUGUAGGACGUAGGUCGUGUGACCUCGGUCACCACAAAGGGUCCUUCCCAGGGAGUGGAUAGCUUGUGCAUUCCCUCCUGGCUUGUUUUCCAUCGAAGCACCAGAUCGCCGACCACGAAAGAACGGUCCUUGACAUUCCUGUUGUAGUAUCGCCUGACUGCUGCGAGAUAUUUUGUUGUUCGGAGACACGAAACUAAACGCUUUUCCUCCAUGCAAUUGAUUUCGAGUCCUCUGGCGUUGUCGGCGGUCGCCUGGUCGAAGUGCUCGAUUCUAGGAGAUCCGAAGUGUAUGUCAGACGGCAAGACCGCCUCUGCACCGUACACCAUGAAGUAGGGAGAUACCCCUGUGUUUCGACUGGUCUGAGUUCGGAGGCCCCAGACCACUGCCGGCAAUUCUUUCAUCCAUCGACCGGGUGCUCUGUCGUUUUCGGUGUACAACCUCUUCUUUAGGGCAUCAACGAUCAUUCCGUUAGCACGUUCAACUUGACCGUUGGCACGUGGAUGUGCCACUGACACAUAUUUUAUGACUAUGCCUCUGUCAUCGCAGAAAUCCCAAAAAGUGGUGCCAGUAAACUGAGUGCCCAGGUCGGUGAUUAUGCUGUUCGGGAUGCCGAAUCUGUGUAUGAUUUGUCUGAGGAACUCCACAGCCUUCUCGGAGGUUGCCUUGACCAGGGGCAUGUAUUCAAUCCACUUGGAGAACUUGUCGAUUAACACGAAGACAAACUUAAAAUUGCCCGGGGCUGGUUUAAAUGGUCCGAUCAUGUCAAGCCCCCAGCUAGCAAAGGGCCAAGACGCCGGGAUGGUUUGAAUUUCAUGGGCAGGUACGUGGGUCCUCUUAGCGAAAAACUGACAUCCUUCGCAAUGCCGAACCAGUUUUUCUGCGUCGCUGACCGCGGUUGGCCAAUAAAAACCUGCUCGGAAAGCCUUUCCGACCAGCGUUCUAGAUGCGGCGUGGUUGCCGCAGGAUCCGGCGUGUAUGUCCUCCAAGAGCUUGAUACCAUCAUCUUGGGGUAUGCACUUGAGCAGUACUUCGGAGCUUGCGUUUUUCCGCAUGAGUUUUCCGUCGAACAGGAUGUAGUUCUUUGAUCGUCAGAUGAGACGCUCGUUCUCUCUUUUGUCCUGAAAACCUGUCCCGUCUGAGAUGUAUUUGAUGAACGGAAUACGCCAGUCACGCCCACCGGUUGUCGGAGUGGCGUCAUCUAUGAGCAUUGCCUCGGUGGGUUGCUUGUCGACCAGGGGGGAGCUUACGCUCGGCUCAUGGAUGUCCUGGACGAAAAUACCCCGCGGGAUUUGGGCCCGAGACGAGCCUAACUUUGACAACGCAUCUGCUGCUUGGUUCUUAUCCCGGACCACGUGGAUGUACUCUAUGCCAUAGAAGUUAGUUUCCCAUUUGCGAAUUUCUUUGCAGUAGAGAUCCAUCUUCUCGUGGGUUGCGUCCCAUUCCUUGUUGAGCUGGUUGAUGACCAAAGCGGAGUCGCCAUAGACAUAGAGGCGCUUGACCCCCAGUUCAACGGCUAGUCGUACGCCUUGUAAGCAUGCUUCGUAUUCGGCGACAUUGUUUGACGCCGGAAAAAGGAUCCGAAGGACGUAGCGGAGUUUGUCCUUGUUGGGCGAUACGAACAAUAUCCCAGCGCCUGCACCGUUGAUGUUCAAGGACCCAUCAAAGAACAUUGACCAGUGGUCUGAGACAUCUGGAACGGAAGGCUCGUUGAGAUCCGUCCAUUCGGCAAUGAAAUCGACCAGGGCUUGAGACUUGACGGUGGUGCGACUCUGGAACUCUAGGGAAAAUGGACAUAAUUCCAUUGCCCAUUUCACGAUCCUGCCAUUGGCGUCUUUGUUGCGCAGGAUGUCCCCGAGAGGAAAGCUGGUUGUCACCAGGACUCGAUGGCCGUCGAAGUAGUGCUUCAGCUUUCUUGACGUUAUCAGGAUGGCGUAUAUAAGCUUCUGUAUUUGUGGGUACCUGGCCUUGGAUUCGUUUAAAACUUCGCUUAUGAAGUAAACGGGUCUCUGGACCUUGAAGACGUGACCUGGUUCAUCUCGCUCGACCACUAUUGCCGUGGAAACAACCCUGUCGGUUGCAGCAAUGUAAAGGAGUAGGUCUUCAUUGGGCUGAGGCGCUGUGAGGACAGGCGGUGAAGUGAGGAAGGUCUUAAGCUGAGUGAACGCAGCGUCGGCUUCCUCUGUCCAAGAGAAUUUUUCUGACGCUUUUAGUAGUUUGAAGAAAGGGAGGCCUUUUUCUCCCAGCCUUGCGAUGAAACGACUGAGGGCGGCCAUGCAUCCGGUUAGCUUCUGAAUAUCCUUGACGUUCUUCGGUGGUCGCAUGUCGAGUACGGCUUUGACUUUUGAAGGGUUUGGUCGUAUGCCGUCACGACUGACGACGUUGCCGAGCAGUAGACCGGAAGGAACGCCGAAAAUGCAUUUCUUGGGGUUGAGCUUCCACUUGUACCUAUUGAGUGCCUUGAAGGUUCGGUCUAAGUUGUCGAUUAGGGUGCUCGCGUCCCUUGUUUUUACAACCACGUCGUCCACAUAGGCCUCGACGAGGUCAUCGCGAAUCUCGUCGUGGAGGCAUUGCUGGAUGGCCCUUUGAUAAGUGGCUCCGGCGUUUUUAAGUCCGAAAGACAUGGUAGUGUAACAGUAUGCGCCGAAGGGUGUGAUGAAGGAUGUUUUGAUCUGAUCUUCUUCCUUUAACGAGAUCUGGUGAUAACCAGAGUAGCAAUCUAGAAAGGAGAGGAGUUCGCAUCCGGCCGUUGAGUCGACCACCUCGUCGAUGCGAGGAAGACCAAAAGGAUCUUUAGGACAGUGUUUGUUGAGAUCGGUGUAAUCAACGCACAUUCUCCAUUCAUUAUUAUUUUUGCGUACGAGAACCGGAUUGGCGAGCCAAUCGGGAUGAUGCACUUCUUUUAUGAAUCCGGCUGCUAGAAGCCGUGUUAUUUCUGUCCUAAUAGCCUCCUUUUUGUCACGAGCGAACCGUCGCAGUUUUUGCUUGAUUGGUCUUGCGGUCUUCGAGACGUUUAAGGAUUGCUCGAUCAGGUUUCGUGGGACACCGGGCAUGUCUGCGGGUUUCCAUGCAAAAACGCUCACGUUGUCCCUUAGAAACCUGACGAGCGCGUCUUCCUAUUUUGGAUCCAGGUUAGCCCCGAUGAGGGCUGUCUUCUCGGGGUUGCCUUCGACCAGCUGCACUUCUUUGUACUCCUUGGAUUUCGAAUUCUUUCUGGCUGUCUCCUGCUCAGGUAAUCGGAGCUGGUCGGGAGGCAGCUGUGCGGCUUGGCUUGCUGUUUCCGCCAUGCGGAUUGAGAGGUCAAUUGCCUCGGUGAUCUUGAAGCUUUCUUCUUCGCAGGUGUACGCCGUGUAGACGUUGCCUCUGACGGUUAGGACACCCUUCUCCGUGGGCAUCUUAAGCACUAGGUAUGAGUAGUGCGGGACUGCCAUGAACUUUGUCAGCGAUGGGCGGCCCAGUAUGGCGUGGUAGGUCCCGUCGAAGUCCGCGACUACGAAGUUGAUGAACUCCGUCCGGAAGUGAUCGGGUGUGCCGAAUUGGACAGGCAAUGUUAUCUGUCCGAGGGGCACCGAACUUUGACCUGGCAAAACGCCCCAGAAUUGGGCGUCGUAAGGUUUUAGUUGCGCCGGUGAUAUCUUUAGGGCGGGCAGGCUGUUGCGAAAGAGAAUGUCGAUGGAGCUUCCCCCGUCCACGAGCACGCGCUCGAAUCUGAUGCUAUUGAUGCAGGGAUCAAGAAUCAGUGGGAAACGUCCCGGCUCUGGGAUAGCGGCCCACUGGUCCUUCCUGCUGAACGAGAUCUCCCUGUGGGACCACGCGGGAAAUUUUGGAUCUGCGAUCAGCCCGUCCGUGCUGUCUAUGUUGAGGCAGGCUCUCUUUAACAGCUUUCUUUCUCGCUUGGACUCAGUGGAGACCUUGCCCCCGAAAAUGGAGUGGACCACGUCGGUGGGGCUGACGUAUUGGUGUCGGGGGUCCCUGUCUUGAUCCUCAUCCUCAUCUUCGUGGUCGUGCCCGUCGCGUUUGUUAUUUUUCUUGGCGGAGUCCUCUUGGGCGGCCCGCCGUGUAUAGAUACUUUUGAGGACGCGACACUCUUCCAUGGUAUGGUUAGACUUUGGGUGUAGCUGGCACAGUCCCUUCAACGUUUUGUUGUAGUCGUCUUGGUAGUCCCGUCGUCCGUUGGGACGUUUGACCGUAUUUACUUCGUGGUCGUAUUCACGAGGGCGCUUUCCUCUGAAGUCGUCGCGGCUGUCGCGCCGCCGAUCCCAACCCUCUCGGUGAUCGCGGUUGUCGGAGCGGCGGUGAUUUCUGUUGUAGUAGCGACCACGACCGUCAUCCCACCGAGAAGGCUGGUCGGGGCCUCUCGCGUCGUCUCGGAUUAGUUUUUCUGCGUCAUCAGCAUCGGCGUAGUUUUUAGCCGUGGCGAGGAGCUCUGCUACCGUUGAUGGGCGUUUACGCAGCAGCUUGUUCCUCAGCGCUUCAUGGAAACGCAAGCCCUUGAUAAAGGCUGAUAUGGCCUCGUCGUGAGAAAUCUUCGGGGUUUUGAGGCGCAUAUCCGAGAAUCGUCGGAUGUAAUCGCGCAGAGGUUCAUUCUUCCUGUCUCUUAUCCUUUCAAGGUCAUACUUGUUCCCGGGCUGCUCGCAUGUGGCGAUGAAGUUGUCGAUGAAAGCCUGUCGUAGCUCUUCCCAAGAUUCGAAGGAGUCCUCGGGCAUGCCGAGAAGCCACUGAUGACCAGCCUGGUCGAGGACUACGGGGAAGUAGUUAGCCAUGACGUGCUCAUCUCCUGCCGCUGAUCGGACGGCGAUUUCAUAAAGAGUGAUCCAGUUCUCUGGAUUUUCCUUGCCGUCGUAUUUUUUAAGUUUUUCGAGCUUGAAAUUGCGGGGCCACACGACCUGGCGGAGGUGUGAGGAGAACUGCCUUAGGCCCGGACCGUGGGUCGCGUCGUACUCGAUGCGGCGCAGGUUUUCGUGGACUGCUCUCUCUGCGGCGUGCCUGUUGAUGCGGUCCCGGGCAUCUUUGGGAGGGAUGUUGUGGCGGAGAUCCCUGUGUUGAUCUUCUUCUUCUUGGCCGCGUACACGGUUCUGCUGGCGGCGGCCAUCGGCGUCCCGACCACCAUCGUCGCGCCGUGAGUCCCCUCGACGGUUGUCGGGGGAGCGGCUGCGGCGGCGCCUGCUGGGUGAGGCCCGGCUGCGAUUAGUCUGGUCGGAGGCGGCUUCCGUAUAAGAGACGUCCUGGACUCUCUUGAGCAGAGUGGCUGUCUGUCCCAUUGCGGCGAUCAGGUGUGCUCGGAUACUGGUCCGGACUCCCUGGCAUUCGGGGGUGUCAGGAAGCCGAUCCAGGUUGGCCAUGGCGACAGCCACGUUGGCGCUUGGCGUUUUGUAGACCGGCUGGUCCCCGACCAUGUCAAAGGCAUCGUUGAGGUUACUUGGUGGCAUCUGUUGUUGCUCGUCCGCACGCCGUCGGGCGCGAUCGGCGUUACGCUGUUCGCGGAGUUGCCUCUGGUCAUCUGUUUCUCCAUCAACGGCCGGUUCGUCGGCGCUGACAUUGAACACGAUAUCCCCUCGCCGGGGGGGGGGAAUAUCGGGAAUCGGUCGAAACCCGGAGGGUGUGAAGGAAAAUCCAGGUCGUAGCCCUCGUCUUCGGUGUUUAUAACCUUGGUGGGGACGGAGCCGGUGCUUGAGUUGGUGCUGGAAACCUGGCCGUCCCGUAGCUCUCGGAUUGUCACCAUGUUGACAUGGUGACGAUUGUUCCUUGUCGGCGACCAGCCCGCUUUGCUGAAAACGGAUUGGACAUGCUGUGAGUAAACAGAGGCCGAGUUAUUCAGGCCGCAAGGAUAGUCUCCCUUUUUGAGCUCGACGGAUCGUCCUGAGGGGGUUGAGGUUAUCGUCAGGGAUGUUCCCGGCCGUUCGUGUGUGGUGACACGAGUUGGCCGGCGGGAUUUCGAAAAAUCUGCUCGAGCGGCUUGGUCGGGCCGGCGCAGAACUCCAUCUAUUAGUUGGGAGACUUCGAGCAGCUUGGAGUCGGCGCGAUCGAGCGCUUGGAGGAGGUCCGAGCAGUCGAUCUCCUUUCCCUUGUAGAGUGGGAACGGUGGUCGGGAGCUUGGUGCCGUCAUGCGUGUGGUCGGAGACGGCGUGAUCUCAGAUUGGAUCUGGAUCUCUUUCGGAACCGUGGUCGGGAAGCCGCCGCUGCACGUCGUCCACGUGAUCUGGCCGACGGUGAACGUGAGGCCUUCGGGCACGGUCGCGGAAGCUGGGAUCGUGACCAUCUUGUUCGCCGGAAAAGUUGCACGCACACCCCCUACCUGGCGCGCCACUGUCGACGAAAGCUAGUCGGCAGUCUACCUUGGGGUAUACCCACGGUAGUAGUUUAUCGGUAGACGGUGCGUGAACUACGAACUCGACGGUGACGCAAGACACGGACAAGCUUUUUAUCCAGGUUCGGCCGCCGAGUUGGCGUAAUACCUACGUCCUGCGUCUGGUUGUAUUGAUUUGUGCUGAGAGAAUAUGAUGUCCUAGGGGGGUCCCUUGCCCCUCCUUAUAUAGUCUGGAGGGCAGGGUUACAGAUCUAGAAACUAAUCCUAGUCGGCUACAAUUGCCAUAGAUAAUUCGACAUCAAUUCCUAUUCUAACCGACUAGAAUCCUGCUUGAUCUCCACGUCUUGUUUCCUUGUGCGAAACUCCGAGCUGUCGGAUCAAACCUUGAACUCGUCUCGUAGUGGGCCAAGCUUCCUGGCUAAAGUCUAGCCGUAAGGGUAUAGGGGUUUAUACCCCCACAGACGCCGACGGCGGCUGGCCGGAACAGGGUUUCCCCGUGGCGGCGCCAUGGGAGAGCUCGCCGGAGCUUUACCAGAUCCCGUUUCCGACCUUGGUUUUUGAUGGGAUUAACACAGGGAGAUAGAGAAACUUCAUGCGAACUUACCUAGGGCACCCAAAUGAGCCAGAAGACCCUGGGGAAGAUCGGCGACGCGAGGUGGGGGGUCGAGGCGCUCUGCGAAGUUCGGCGAGCAUUAGAUUGACACAGAACGCGAGAGAGGAAGAUAGGAAGGGCUCAGGGGCAUCGUUAGUCAACCACGAAGCUCGGCAAGGCCUCGAUUGUGGUAGAGCGAGCGCGAAUUGUGUGAACCACUGCGGCGACAUCCUCCGCUUCUCGGCGAGAUCUGAAUAGCGAUGAUGGAGUUGGUUAGGGCUUUGCGAAGGCACGAGGAUAGGAAAACAAAGGCGUGGGAAGGGUCUGGAGCUUUAUAGGUUACGGGGUUAGCCAAAUCCCGUGGAGGCCGGGAUUGGAUUGCCGUGAUGGGAAGGAAAUCCUGGGAAGUUGUAUUGAGUUGCGUCGCCCUGAGUCCAUCUCGGUCACGCCUCAAGGUAGAAGUAGAGAAAGGGCCACCGACGAGUGGGACCAGGCGGCAGUGAGGGGGGUGACAGGGCCCGCGUGCCAGUGAGGGGGGGGGGAAGGGAAGAGGGAGGGCGCGGGGCUAGGGCGGGGUCUUUCUUGGGCCGGUUGCGCGCAUAGAAGAGCUGGGCCUCGGUUGCUGGGCCACCAGGCCGAGGGAGAGGUGGGUGGCAUGCUGGGCCAGUUGCUGGCCAGCUUGGGCCGAGCGCGGAGUCUGGGCAGGGAGAGAGGAGAGAGAGGAAGUUUGGUUGGGCCUCUCGGGCCAAAACAGGGAGAGAGAGAGAGCCUUUUCUCUUUUUUUUCUUUUUAUUUCAAAGCCUUUUCAAAACAAUUUAAAAAAAAUCAAUUUGAAAAUAUUUUGAUUUUUUUUGCCCAAAUUCACACAAUACAAUGAAAAUAAAUGCUCCAAAAUGAAUGCUCAAACAGGUUGCUAAAUCCUAUGAUAAAUUUUAAUUUCAUGAUAACUUUAUUUUCCCUAUAUUUCCAUGAGCACAAAAAUACAAUAAUUAAAUCAAUUUAGCUUUAUUUCCAAAGGACAAAUUUUUAGGGUGUUACAAAUCUACCCCCCUUAAAAUGAAUCUCGUCCUAGAGAUUCGAAAGAGACACGGAUUCCAAAAGGGAGACAAGAACAAGAUCUUGAUAUAUAUUUCAACUUCACAACUUGUAUUCCAAAGUAAACACUUAUGUCUCGGGAUCACAAUGUGUAAACAAAACAUCCAUAAAAUGUCUGUUAUUCAUAGCUGAUUAAAACCCAUCUUGACUACCAACUUUUUGACUAAUACAACUCAAAGAUAUGAUAAAUUAGCAUGGGUAUGCCUCCUCAGGUAGGAGUGGACCACCUUGAUACUCAAUUCUUUUCCCUGAUGGUGCAGUUAAGAAAAUUUUACACUGGGUAGCAUAGAUCACUGCCUUGUGUGCACAUAACCAUCUAUUGCCAAGAACCAAAGGAAUAUUGAGUGACUCUAGCACAAUGAGGUUUACAGUGAAGUUUUCCUUCUUUUUGACAAGAUUGAUAUUUAAGCAAACCUGAUCUGCCUGUUUUUCUCCCUUUGGGGUCUGAACUAACAAAGGCUUUCUCGUCGGGCACUUCACCCGUUCGAUUGUCUUUACCAUGUCGGCGGAAAUAAAAGAAUGCGAAGCACUUCGGUCAAACAGAGCAAAAACUAGCACUGAGUCCACUUGAAUAUAGCCUCCCACCACUUUGGUGGCUCCUUGAAUGUUAUGCAUAUCCACAUUGUUUAGUCUUCCAUUGAUAUAAUUUCGCUGUACUUUAUUUCCAAGAGCAGGCUUCUUACGAGCUUUCCUUUUACGCUUCCGUCGUUGUGGAUUUUGAUUUGAUUCAUUGUCAACUUGCUCUUCCAUGUUAUUAUUUUGAUAACACUCAGCUUUGUCAUACUCAUAGCAUCUUUCUUCAAAAGCAAGAUGAUCAUAUUCUUCUCACCUAUCCAUGAGAGGCGUCAUAUUAUGCUCCGAAUCCAUGGGACACUACACUCCCUGUCAUCAAGUGACCAACGUCAGUAACACGGCAAGGAUAGAUGAUCAUAAUCAUAGGAUAUCUCAAAAGACGAUUAUCACUUAAAAAUGCAUCAUCCUGUGAUAUCAGGGUACUACCCCCCUUAAAAUGAGAUUGAUUGGGGGACACUAGGGACUACUUCUCCUAUCCUUUUUAGACACUACACAUCAUAUAGUCUUUUAAAUUCGCUGUACCGAGUCUCUUGAUCCAAGGUUAGUUUCAUCUCUAAGUUCCAAUUAUCGGUACCUUUAUCACAAUCAAGUUGUUUCACUCCCAUAUUGUACAUAUAACUUCAUAACCUUUGGUGUCAUCUGAUCCUCAUAAACAUAACUCUCGAUCCAUGAGUUUCAGCAAUGACAUAUAUCUCAAUUAAUAUUCUCUAAAUGGGAGGAUAUCUUUACCAAGCACUUGUGAUCCUAAUAGAUGUUCCAGUCUUUAACCACUUCUUCUCCUUGUAGCUUCUUUAUUUGGGCUACCCCCCUAAAGAAAAGUCAACUAGGGGGCACAAGAAAGGUAGCUUGCAUGUUUUCCAGGCAGGUUAACUAACAUUGAGAACUUUUGACAUCCCAAAGAACUUAUGUGCAAUGGAGCAAACAGGUAUCCUGAAAUUUUCUCGUGAUAUGAAAAACGCCAGCGUAGUUAAAUACAUAUAACUCUUAUUCUGUUAAUCCAACAGAGUUAUAGCUUAUACCGUUAGAAAACAUAUGAAAUUCUCUACCACUUUCAUAUAGAAGACCUCCUUAGGUUCUGUCUUUAAGCUUAAGUAAAAUAGCCAAAUAUAAUACCCAUUCUGACAAUGUCUCAGCAAAGGUGCAGUAAGUUACAGAAAUUAUAUCUCGAGCUACUUAACUCAUCUGGAUAUGAUCCUUACAUUUUGGAAAAGCUUAGGAAAGCCUCUACAACUUUCGUAUACCAUGUUUUCCCACAUUCUGUCUUUAACUUGGCCGAAAAUAGGGAAUACCAAAACUGUCCAGACUUUGAUACAGAACAUAAACAUCCAAGUGUAAAUGUCAUAUCUCAGGUUCUACUAAUCCAAAUUAGUUCCAGCUUAUACUGCUGGAAAGCAAAGUAAAUUGUCUACAUCUUUUCUAUAGAACACUUUUCCAAAUUCUAUAGCUACAUUUGUCUCAAACAGUAAGCAACCAAAACUGGUCCAGGUUCUUGACAGCACAGUUGUAUCAUCUUGUGAUUUUUGUAACUUCCAAACCAUAAUAGCUAUGAGGGUGAUUCUUGUGGUAAGAGAAAGAUCUUGAAGUCUAGUUGUUCCCAGAAAAAUUUGGUAAACUUGCACGACCAGAUCUUGAUAUACACCAUGAUUAUUGCAGACUGCUCCAGAAAUCGGCAGAAGAUAGAAACAAGAUAUAACCAAACCCAACUACUUAUGUCAUUACUCCUUAUGCCUUAGUCCUAUAAACUAAAUGAUAUUGUGGAGAAAUCCCACAAAAUCAUUGCACUCAUUACAAAUAUCCAAAUCAAGCAUAAGCAUAAUGACAAAACAACUAAGCAUUAAAGGUUCACACUUCACUCAACUUGCGAUACUAUCGUUUUCUUCUUAGUAAGGGUAGAGAUCCUAAAAUUAUCUUUCAACUACGUAAGCAGGUGGUAAGAGAAGAUUCUAAAAGCUUAUCAAAUCAAGAGUGAAGAUGAGAACAAGUACUUUUAAAAUAAGCAACAAGGUAGAGACAAAUAGCAAGGAUAGGGAUAUAGUAUGGAUGAAAAUACCAAGGUUUAUAGAGCAAGGAUUUUAUGACAAUUCCAAAACAUUAAGAUGACAAAUUUCUAACUAGGCUUGCAUCCUACAGCCAGCAUUGCUCUGAUACCACUUUGUAAUACCCGAUUUUAAGGACAAAACCAAAUAUGCACCAUAUGUGAGUUUUAAAAGUCAAAUCUCACAUAUAGCUACAAAUAAGGGGUAAUAUCAAAAGACAAUGCAUAAAUUAUAUAACAUACUUAGUAUAAAAGAGAUAACCUUUAGUAACAAACAGCGGAUAGAUAACGCCAACUUCGGGUAUUAACUCCACUCUACAGGAUCCAACUGACUGGUUGACCACAAGCCUAAACUUCUCCUGAGGUUUGGGGGAAAUAGCAAGAGUGAGUCCAUGUCGAACUCCACAAGUAUAGCAACUAGAUUGUAUAGCUCCCACAAUCUCAUGAUCAAUGUGACAUAAAUAAUGUAAAGCAUUAAACAAUAAAAAAUGAGCAUAUUUAACACACAAGAAUCAUCACCCUUGAUGUAGAUGUCCCCAAGGCCGCUCCUGACCGUGAGCUCGGCUAGUAUACUAGUUUUUAACCCUCUGCAGAGGUUGCACAUCUUUACCCAUGAGUCAUGAUUUAACCUUUCGCCCGAGGUAGUUAAUCUCUUAACCCCCUUCCUAGGGAGGUCGGCAGGGAUCACUAUGAAGUGUUUCAAAGGUUCGUCUAACAAGUUAGGGCCGCUUGGUUCCAUUAGUCAGUCCGUGUGAUUCACCCGCAGGAAUCCACGGUCUACUAUUCCCCAAUUGCGCCACACGGGUAACCGCUAACGAGCUAGAAAAGUUACUCAUACUUAACUAAAACUAGAGCCAUUAUAGCCCUCAUGGUUGCACUGUUGUACCGGGUGAUCACGUACAGAUAAAUCAUCAAGUCGCUAAAAAGUCAUUUUUAUCGUUUAUUACUUAUCAUUAAUCUAGCCACAGGAUCAUGGUCACAGAAAUAAAAUCCAAAUGCUAUACUUGCCUUAAUCCAAUUGCUCUUGCUUAUCUCUUUGGUCCUACUGGUCUCACUUGUCCAAGGCUCUGAUCUUGAUCAACAAAAACUGCUUUCCGACUAAACUCGAUCAUCGAUCAUCAACACACAAACAACCGAAGAAAACAUACAUGAAGCAAACAAGGCUACAAUUAGAACAUUACACCAAACAGUGGUAAAUCAAAGAUAAAAGUUUAUGAAAAUAUUCUACGCAUCACUACGAUUUCAUAGACGUAAAGAUCACGAAAAUCGAAAUUAAAACGUAGAAGAUAUGGAUUUUCUAAGAUUUUAUAUAGAAAAGUAAUUAAUUAAUUAAGGACACGGAAUUAAAAAGUUUCAAACUGGUGAAUUAAGUUUAUUAACAUGUAGAGUUCAUUAUUACGGAUCCAACAAAAUUUGAAUGGACCAAAUCGGAUUUAAAAUGAACAUUCUAUGACUAAAACAAAAUCAAUGGCAGUUCUGUAAAUACAGAAAACGUAUUUCAAAAUACACUGAGUCGAUUUUACGCUUUCAUAUGAUGGAAAAUGCAUUUUGCGGAGUACGCUGAGGGACUGCGAGUUUAUACUUAAAAAGGGCAGGGGGUCUUUAGAAAAAUUUCAAGUGAAGGGGUAAGAUCUGUUUUCGACCCUUGAUCUCUAAACCGAUGGCUACGAUCCACCUAGGGGAGGGACGCCGACGGCGGCUGGCCGGAACAGGGUCUCCCCGCGGCAGCGCCAUGGGAGAGCUCGCCGGAGCUUUACCAGAUUCCGUUUCCGACCUCAGUUUUCGACGGGAUUAACACAGGGAGAUAGAGAAACUUCGUCCGAACUUACCUAGGGCACCCAAAUGAGUCGGAAGACCCUCGGGAAGAUCGGCGACGCGAGGUGGUGGAUCGAGGCGCUCUGCAAAGUUCGGCGAGCACUAGAUUGACACAGAACGCAAGAGGGGAAGAUAGGAAGGGCUCAGGGGCAUCGUUACUCAACCACGAAGCUCGGCAAGGCCUCGAUUGCGGUAGAGCGGGCGCGAAUUGCGUGAACCACUGCGGCGACGUCCUCCGCUUCUCGGCGAGAUCCGAAUAGCUAUGAUGGAGUUGGUUAGGGCUUCACGAAGGCACGAGGAUAGGAAAACGAAGGCGUGGGAAGGGUCUGGAGCUUUAUAGGGUUCGGGGUUAGCCAAAUCCCGUGGAGGCCGGGAUUGGAUUGCCGUGAUGGGAAGGAAAUCCCGGGAAGUCGUAUUGAGCUGCGUCGCCCUGAGUCCAUCUCGGUCAUGCCUCAAGGUAGAAGAAGAGAAAUGGCCCCCGACGAGUGGGACCGGGCGGCAGUGGGAGGGGUGACAGGGCCCGCGUGCCAGUGAGGGGGGGGGAAGGGAAGAGGGAGGGCACGGGCCUAGGCCGGGGUCUUUCCUGGGCCGGUUGCGCGCAUAGAAGAGCUGGGCCUCGGUUGCUGGGCCACCGGGCCGAGGGAGAGGUGGGUGGCGUGUUGGGCCAAUUGCUGGCCAGCUUGGGCCGAGCGCGAAGUCUGGGCAGGGAGAGAGGAGAGAGGGGAAGUUUGGUUGGGCCUCUCGGGCCAAAACAGGGAGAGAGAGAGAGCCUUUUCUCUUUUUUUCUUUUUAUUUCAAAGCCUUUUCAAAACAAUUUAAAAAAAAUCAGUUUGAAAAUAUUUUGAUUUUUUUUGCCCAAAUUCACACAAUACAAUGAAAAUAAAUGCUCCAAAAUGAAUGCACAAACAGGUUGCUAAAUCCUAUGAUAAAUUUUAAUUUCAUGAAAACUUUAUUUUCCCUAUAUUUUCAUGAGCACAAAAAUACAAUAAUUAAAUUAAUUUAGCUUUAUUUCCAAAGGACAAAUUUUUAGGGUGUUACAAAGACGCACGUGACGCAUCACCAUGAAACGGGGAGUUGAUUGUUGGUACCCCUUAUCAUAUUAAACAGAUGGUAGGGCUUUGAACUAACCUUUCCACAAGUUUUGUUGCAAAUAUCAAUUUCAUGUAUGACACGUGGAAAGGCGCAAAAGACACGAGAAAGCGCACUUCAAGAAAGCGUAUUCAGAAAAGGUGCAAAUCAAAGAUAAAUGGAAAAGCCCACCAAAACACCGAACUGGAUCCAUCCAUAACCACAGGAAGGAUCAGGGCCCAUAGACGAACCGACCACGCGAAGGCGGUGGCCAGGGGGGCCCACCAGUGGUGCGGUCGUACCCUGGUGCGGGCGCACCCCUGUGGCGACAACUCGGUCCCACCUUUUUCAGGCGGGUGCAUGGCGGCAUGCAUAGGAUGGUUUCACCUCCUACCAAAUUUAGAUCACCAUGAACCAUCCUUGUAGGGCUAUAAAUAGAUGGCUCCACACCAUUCAACACACACACCAUCAUUUUGAGCAAUACACCUCACAUCUCUACACUUGUUCUUUAGUUUAGAUUCAGUAGUAGAGGAAGGCAAAGCUAGCAAGGAGAGCUUGUCUCCUUGGAUGAUCUUAGAGCUUCUUGGUAUGAAUACAAUUCAGUUCUCCUCCAUGAGCAAGUUCUUAUCUUAUUUAUAUGAUUAUGCAAUUGAAUUAGAGUAUAGCUGUGUUCAUAUCUUGUUCAUAGUAUAUGAACUAGUUCUUAGUUCUUGUGCUAUGUUCUUGAUGUUCGAAUUAGUAUGAAUAGACAAAGGAUUAAGAUUGGGGUAACGAUUCAUUGGGCUGUGAUGGCCACUCUUAGCCGAGCCUGUCAAUCUGAAGGGUUGGGGUCCCGAGAGGCUAGGAGGCAUUUCCAAUUACACGGGCGAGGUGCUCGGGUAUGCGGAGGUGGCAGGGUAGUGACAGCCCUGUCAUCCCUGGUUGUGGGGGUAUAAACCCCUAUACCCUUACGACUAGACUUGGGCCAGGAGGCUUGGCCCAUUACGAGACAAGCUCAAGGUUUGAUCCGACAGCUCGGAGUUUCGCGCAAGGAAACAAGACGUGGAGAUCAAACAGGAUUCUAGUCGGUUAGAAUAGGAAUUGAUAUCGAACUAUCUAUGGCAAUUGUAACCGACUAGGAUUAGUUUCCGAUCUGUAACCCUACCCUCCGGACUAUAUAAGGAGAGGCAAGGGACCCCCCUAGGACAUCAUAUUCUCUCAACACAAAUCAAUACAACCAGACGCAGGACGUAGGUAUUACGCCAACUCGGCGGCCGAACCUGGAUAAAAAGCUUGUCCGUGUCUUGCGUCACCAUCGAGUUCGUAGUUUGCGCACCGUCUACCGAUAAACUACUACUGUGGGUAUACCCCAAGGUAGACUGCCGACCAGCUUUCGUCGACAGUGGCGCGCCAGGUAGGGGGUGUGCGUGCAACUUCUCCGGCGAACGAGAUGGUCACAAUCCUAGCUUCUGCGACCGUGCCCGAAGGCCUCACGCUCACCGUCGGCCAGAUCAUGUGGACUACGCGCAGCGGUGGCCUCACGACCACGGUUUCGAAAGAAACUCAGAUCCAAUCUGAGAUCACGUCGUCUCCGACCACUCGGGUGACGGCACCGAGCGCCCGACCACCGUUCCCGCUCUACAAGAGAAAGAAGAUCGACAGCUCGGACCUUCUUCAAGCGCUUGAUCGCGCCGAUUCCAAGCUACUCGAAGCCUCCCAACUAGUAGAUGGAAUCCUGCGCCAGCCUGAUCAAGCCGCCCCAACGGAUUUUUUCAAAUCCCGCCGGCCAACUCGUGUCGUUACACAUGAACGGCUAGGAACGUCUCUGACGAUAACCUCAACUCCCUCAGGACGAUCCGUCAAGCUCAAGGCUAACCCGGAUGAAGAUUAUCUUUGCCGCCUGAACAACUCGGCCUCUCUCUACUCACGGCACAUCCAAUCCGUUUUCACCAAGGCGGGUUGGCCGCCAAAAAGGAACAGUCAAUCUGCUCGUCACAACGUCAACAUGGUGACGAUCCGCGAACUACGGGAUGGCCAGGCUUCCAGCACCAAUUCGAGCACCGGUUCUGUCCACACCGAAGUUAUAAACUCCGAAGACGAGGACUACGACCUGGAUUUGCUUUCACAUCCUCCGGGUUUCUCUCGUUUCCCGGUAUUCCCCCCCGGCGAGGAGACAUUGUUUUUAACUUCAGCGCCGACGAGCCGGUCGUUGAUGGAGAAACAGACGAGCAAAGGCAGCUCCGCGAGCAGCGUAACGCCGAUCGCGCCCGACGACGCGCGGAUGAGGAACGACAAAUUCCACCACAUAAUCUCAGCGACGCCUUUGAUAUGGUCGGGGACCAGCCAGUCUACAAAACGCCAAGCGCCAACGUGGCUGUCGCCAUGGCUAACCUAGAUCGGCUCCUCGAUACUCCUGAGUGCCAGGGAGUCCGAACCAGCGUCCGAGCGCACCUGCUCGCCCCAAUGGGACAGACAGCCACUCUGCUUAAAAGAGUCCAGGCCGUCUCUUAUACGGAAGCCACCUCCGACCAGACUAAUCGUAGCCGGACCUCACCGCCUCCCAGCAGGCAUCACCGUAGCCGUUCCCCCGACAAGCAUCGAAAGGAUUCACGGCGUGACGAUGGUGGUCGGGAUGCUGACGGUCACCACGAGCAGAACCGCAGGCGCGGUCAAGAAGUAAACCAGCACAGGGAUCUUCGAUAUAACAUCCCUCCCAAAGAUGCCUGGGACCGCAUCAACAGACGCGCCACGGAGAGAGCAGUCCACGAAAACCUGCGCCGUAUCGAGUACGAUGCAACGCACGGCCCCCCGGGCCUAAGACAGUUCUCCUCACACCUCCGCCAGGUCGUGUGGCCCUGCAAUUUCAAGCUCGAGAAACUCAAAAAAUACGACGGCAAGGAAAAUCCAGAGAAUUGGAUCACUCUCUAUGAAAUCGCCGUCCGAUCAGCAGCGGGGGAUGAGCACGUCAUGGCCAACUACUUCCCAGUAGUCCUCGACCAGGCUGGUCAUCAGUGGCUUCUUGGCUUGCCCGAGGACUCCUUCAACUCUUGGGAAGAGCUACGCCAGGCUUUUAUCGACAACUUCAUCGCCACAUGCGAGCAGCCUGGAAACAAGUAUGACCUCGAAAGGAUAAGGGACAGGAAAAACGAACCUUUACGCGAUUACAUCCGACGAUUCUCGGAUAUGCGCCUUAAGAUCCCGAAGAUUUCCCACGACGAGGCCAUCUCUGCCUUCAUCAAGGGCCUACGUUUCCAUGAAGCACUGAGGAACAAACUAUUGCGCAAAAGGCCAACAACGAUGGCGGAGCUCCUCGCCACGGCUAAAAAUUACGCCAAUGCCGACGAUGCAGAGAAACUAAUCCGAGACGAUGCGAGAGGUCCCGACCAGCCUCCCCGGCGAGAUGACGGUCGCGGUCGUUUCGACAACAAGAACCACCGCCGCUCCGACAACCGCGAUCAUAGAGAAGGCUGGGAUCGGCGGCGCGAUAAUCGCGACGACUUCAGAGGAAAGCGCCCCCGCGACCACGACCACGAAGUGAAUACGGUCAAGCGUCCCAACGGGCGGCGAGACUACCAAGAAGACUACAAUAAAACAUUGAAGGGACCGUGCCAACUACAUCCAAAAUCUAAUCAUACCAUGGAAGAGUGCCGCGUCCUCAAAAACAUCAAUACACGGCGGACUGCCCAAGACGACUCCGCCAAGAAAAACGGCAAGCGAGACGGGCACGACCACGAAGACGAGGACGAGGACCAAGAUAGGGACCCUCGACACCAAUACGUCAGCCCCACCGACGUGGUCCACUCCAUCUUCGGGGGCAAGGUCUCCAUCGAAUCUAAGCGAGAAAGAAAGCUAUUAAAAACAGCCUGCCUCAACAUAGACAGCACGGACGGACUGAUCGCAGACCCGAAAUUUCCCCCGUGGUCGCACAGGGAGAUCUCCUUCAGCAGGAAGGAUCAGUGGGCCGCUAUCCCAGAGCCAGGACGUUUCCCUCUAAUCCUGGACCCUUGCAUCAACAGCAUCAGAUUCGAGCGCGUGCUCGUGGACGGAGGAAGCUCCAUUCACAUCCUCUUCCGCAACAGCCUGCCCGCUCUCAAGAUAUCUCCUGCACAACUAAAACCCUACGAUGCUCAAUUCUAGGGAGUUUUGCUAGGUCAGAGUUCAGUGCCCCUCAGACAGAUAACAUUGCCUGUCCAAUUCGGCACACCCGACCACUUUCAGACAGAGUUCGUAAACUUUGUGGUCGCGGACUUCGACGGGACCUACCACGCUAUACUGGGCCGACCAUCGCUGACAAAGUUCGUGGCAGUCCCGCACUACUCAUACCUGGUCCUUAAGAUGCCUACGGAGAAGGGUGUCCUAACCGUCAGAGGCAAUGUCUACACCGCAUAUACCUACGAAGAGGAAAGCUUCAAGAUCACCGAGGCAAUCGACCUCUCAAUUCGCAUGGCAGAAACAGCAACCCAAGCCGCGCAGCUGCCUCCCGACCAGCUCCGAUUACCCGAGCAGGAGACUGCCAGGAAGAAUUCAAAAUCCAAGGAGUAUAAGGAAGUACAACUGGUCGACGGCAGCCCCGAGAAGACGGCCCUCAUCGGGGCUAAUCUGGACCCCAAAUAGGAAGACACGCUCGUCAGGUUUCUAAGGGACAACGUAAGCGUUUUCGCAUGGAAACCCGCAGAUAUGCCCGGCGUCCCACGGAACCUGAUUGAGCACUCCUUAAAUGUCUCGAAGACCGCAAGACCCAUCAAGCAAAAGUUGCAACGGUUCGCUCGUGACAUAAAGGAGGCUAUUAGGACAGAAAUAACACGGCUUCUAGCAGCCGGAUUCAUAAAAGAAGUGUAUCAUCCCGAUUGGCUCGCCAAUCCGGUUCUUGUACGCAAAAAGAAUAAUGAAUGGAGAAUGUGCGUUGAUUACACUGAUCUCAAUAAACACUGUCCUAAAGACCCUUUUGGUCUCCCUCGCAUCGACGAGGUGGUCGACUCAACGGCCGGAUGCGAACUCCUCUCUUUCUUAGACUGCUACUCUGGUUAUCACCAGAUUUCGCUAAAGGAAGACGAUCAGAUCAAAACAUCUUUCAUUACUCCUUUCGGCGCAUAUUGCUACACGACUAUGUCAUUCGGACUCAAAAAUGUCGGAGCCACUUAUCAACGGGCCAUACAGCAAUGCCUCCACGACGAGAUUCGUGACGACCUCGUCGAGGCCUAUGUAGAUGACGUCGUCGUCAAAACGAGGGAUGCAAGCACCCUAAUCGACAACUUAGACCGAACUUUUAAGGCGCUUAAUAGGUACAAGUGGAAGCUUAACCCCAAAAAGUGCAUAUUUGGUGUCCCUUCUGGUCUACUGCUCGGCAACGUUGUCAGUCGUGAUGGCAUACGGCCAAAUCCUUCAAAAGUAAAAGCAGUACUCGACAUGCGACCACCUAAAACGUCAAGGAUAUUCAGAAGCUCACCGGAUGUAUGGCCGCCCUCAGUCGCUUCAUCUCAAGACUAGGAGAAAAAGGCCUCCCUUUCUUCAAACUCUUGAAAGCGUCGGAAAAAUUUUCUUGGACAGAGGAAGCCGACGCCGCGUUCACUCUGCUUAAGACUUUCCUCACUUCACCACCUGUUCUUAUAGCGCCUCCGCCCAAUGAAGACCUACUCCUUUACAUUGCUGCAACCGACAGGGUUGUUUCCACGGCAAUAGUGGUCGAACGAGAUGAGCCAGGUCAUGUCUACAAGGUGCAGAGACCCAUUUACUUCAUAAGCGAAGUCUUAAACGAGUCCAAGGCCAGGUACCCACAAAUACAGAAGCUCAUAUACGCCAUUCUAAUAACGUCAAGAAAGCUAAAACACUACUUCGACGGCCAUCGAGUCUUGGUAACCACCAGUUUCCCUCUCGGGGACAUUCUGCGUAAUAAAGACGCCAACGGCAGAAUCAUAAAAUGAGCGAUGGAAUUAUGCCCAUUUUCCCUGGAGUUCCAGAGCCGCACCACAGUCAAGUCUCAGGCCCUGAUCGAUUUCAUUGCUGUAUGGACGGAUCUCAACGAGCCUCCCGUUCUCGAUGUCUCCGACCACUGGUCAAUGUUCUUUGACGGAUCCUUGAACAUCAACGGCGCCGGCGCUGGGAUACUAUUCAUGUCGCCUAACAAGGACAAGCUGCGUUACGUCCUUAGGAUCCUCUUUCCGGCAUCAAACAAUGUUGCCGAAUACGAAGCAUGCCUGUACGGCAUAAGGCUAGCCGUUGAGCUGGGAGUCAAACGCCUCUACGUCUAUGGCGACUCUGCUUUAGUUAUCAACCAGCUCAACAAGGAGUGGGAUGCAACCCACGAGAAGAUGGAUCUCUACUGCAAAAAAAUUCGUAAAUGGGAAACCAACUUCUACGGCGUAGAGUACAUCCACGUGGUCUGGGAUAAGAACCAGGCAGCAGAUGCGUUGUCAAAGUUAGGGUCAUCUCGGGCCCAAAUCCCGCGGGGUAUUUUCGUCCAGGACAUCCAUGAGCCAAGUGUGGGCACAUGCCUGGUCGAAAAGCAACUCACUGAGGCACUGCUCAUAGACGAUGCCACUCCGACAACCAGUGGCCGCGAUUGGCGCACCCCGUUCAUAAGAUAUAUAUCGGACGGGUCAGGCUUUCAGGACAAAUCAGAGAAUGAACGCCUCAUUCGACGAUCAAAGAACUACAUACUGGUGGACGGCAAACUUAUGCGAAAAAAUGCAAGUUCCGAAGUACUGCUCAAAUGCAUAUCCCGAGAUGAUGGCAUCAAGCUCCUAGAGGACAUACACGCCGGAUCCUGCGGCAAUCACGCUGCAUCCAGAACGCUGGUUGGGAAAGCCUUCCGAGCAGGUUUUUAUUGGCCAACUGCGGUCAACGACGCCGAAAAACUGGUCCGACACUGCGAGGGAUGUCAGUUCUUCGCUAAAAGGACCCACGUACCUGCUCAUGAGAUUCAAACCAUCCCGUCAUCCUGGCCCUUCGCCUGCUGGGGGCUCGACAUGAUCGGGUCAUUUAAACUAGCCCCCGGCAACUUCAAGUUCGUUUUCGUGUUAAUCGACAAGUUCUCCAAGUGGAUUGAAUACAUGCCACUGGUCAAAGCAACCUCCGAGAAGGCUGUGGAGUUCCUUAAUCAAAUCAUACACAGGUUCGGGAUCCCAAACAGUAUAAUCACCGACCUGGGUACUCAGUUUACUGGCACCACAUUUUGGGACUUCUGCGAUGACAGGGGCAUAGUCAUAAAAUAUGUGUCAGUAGCUCACCCACGGGCCAAUGGUCAAGUUGAGCGCGCAAACAGAAUGAUCAUCGACGCCCUAAAGAAAAGGCUGUACACCGAGAACGACAGAGCUCCCGGUCGAUGGAUGAAAGAGUUACCGGCCGUGGUCUGGGGCCUCCGAACUCAGACCAGUCGAAACACAGGAGUGUCACCCUACUUCAUGGUUUACGGCACCGAGGCAGUCCUGCCGUCUGACAUAACCUUCGGUUCUCCUAGGAUUGAAAACUUCGACCAGUCAACAGCCGACAAAGCCAGAGAGCUCGAAAUCAACUGCAUGGAGGAAAAGCGUUUGAAUUCUUGUCUCCGAACAGCAAAGUAUCUCGCGGCAGUCAUGCGAUACCACAACAGGAACAUCAAGGACCGUUCCUUCGCAGUCGGCGAUCUGGUACUUAGGUGGAAAACAAGCCAAGAGGGAAUGCACAAGCUAUCCACUCCCUGGGAAGGACCCUUCGUGGUCGCCGAAGUCACACGACCCACGUCCUACAGAUUGGCAUACCCAGACGGAACACGCGUGCCUAACUCUUGGCACAUAGACAAAUUGCGCCGAUUUUAUCCAUAAGUUCUAAUAACUUUCGCAUGUAAAUAUCUUAUAGCUGUCAAUAAUAAAAGUUUGUCUUUUUUGCCUAUACUUUGUUACACGCAGAACUCGGAAAGCCUUCUGCAACGGAAGCUCUUAGCGACUACAAAGUCAAAUACAGUGGCACGUCACUCAGAUAAUUGUACAGCGCUCAAAAUAACAGUCAUGACAAAAGCAAACUUUAUUACAAACUUUACAUAUAAAGUUUACAAUAAAUACCCUGACGGGCAGACGCUAGUCUAUUCCUACAGUCUACCCUAUUGGCCUACUGCUCGGGCUGAUCACCCACCUGGCCCUGCUGCCCGGACGAAGGGGUCGGGGCCACCGGCGCCUGGCUGGUCGAGACCGCAGGCGUCGACUGCCCAUCUCCCGCAAUAGACGCGCCCGACAGCUCCCUGGCCGACCUGUCUGAACCCGGCUGGUCGGGGGGAGUGGCCGUUCCGUAUAGAUUGAUGUCGCCGAUCACCGUCGACGACAAGUCCAGCAGACCACCCCGAAGCUCGUCCGCCUCCUGCGGGCCGACCUCCUUGGGAUACCCUUUCUCCAGCCUAGUCAAGUCGACCAGGGGCUAGUGGGCGCGCACCAUGCUAAGGACAUGCGCGCCAGCAAACUCCCCGGCGUGCUUCACGAAUUGUUGGAGCCAGUCCCACGCCCGUUGCGCCUUUUCCACUGGAGUCAAUCUCGGCGUGCGGGGCUGGCUCUCCGGGAGCUCGGGACUGAUCAAAUCCAGAACCGGGGCCACUCCUCUCCAAAUCUUGUAGCAGUUGACCUUCCAGGAGUCCCGAUCCUUGACCAGAUCCUCCAGGUGCUUCUUGGUGUUUACCUUGAGCACUGCAAAUCAAGGAAGAUGUUAGUCUCGGCGUGUCAAACAGAGCGAUAAGAGGAAAACAACGGGAGCGGCGCGUGAUACCAGACAACUCACGGUCCCUCUGGCUUAGCUCCUCCGCUGCUCGGCGACCGGCCUCCAGCGCCCCGGCUAGCUCUUGACCGAGCUGCUCCUUCUCCUGUUGGAGGCGUGCCACCUCCUCCUCCAAGUCUACGUGAAUCACAGCCCGGUCAGUAAAGUAAACUACACAGCUACACAAAGCUGCUCGGAGCACGUGACUGACCUGACCGCUGCCGGUACUGGUCGGCCAAGCGACGAGUGAGCUCGAGACGACGCUCCUCCUGGGCGUUCACCUCGGCCACCUUCUCCCCAACCUUCGACCGCAGCCGGUCUACCUCCAUGGACAAGGCCUUAUUCUCGGCCACAAUUCCCUCAAUCUGGUCGAAGCAUCGUUUUUGGUACUUCGCCGUUUUCAUCGCGCCCUGCAAGAAAGAACACAUGUCGAACACAGGAACACUGCACAAAAGUUAUCCCAGCAGAACACAGGACCACCUACCUUAACCUCCUCCACGAGGCGCUUAGCCGCGCGCUCCACCCUCGCGGCCUCCUCCGUCUCCGCGAGCUCCUCGUGGCCAAUAAAGUGGUCCCCGCGUUGGCGCCACAUGUAGACGUGCUGGCGGCCAUCACGGGGACGACCCUGGACCUCCUCCACGUCGUCGUCGGAGGCCUCCUGGGACUCCUUGUUUGCCGCACUACCUCCGGCUGCAGUUGAGGGCAUCACUGGUCCCUGGCCUAGGCCAGAGGAGCCCACGGGCGAAGAAGCCCCUGCUCGGGGCGGCGUCAGCACCCUCCCUUCUUCGGCUGGAGGAGUUGGGACUCUGCUCACCUCCUCUACAACAGUACUUGGGGGAGGGACCCUUGCUGCCUCAUCACCCCUCGGCUAAGUGCUCGUCGCAGUACUCGCCGGGGCAGAUUGGUCCUCGGCGCCCGCCACCGCUACAGGUUGCUCUGUGACCUGUGGCGCGGCGUCUUCAGCGGCGGCAAUAGGAGCGGCCGUCCCCUGCUCCGUGGCUUGGUCGGGGUUGACGUCCGACGCCGCGCUACAUAACAGAGGGAUAUUUUCAACAACAGUUAAAAAAAAUCGCCAAAAUACGUAAGUCGAACACUUACAGGUCUGAGCGACGGUGGGUCGCGGUGAACCUCCUCCUUGCCCGGCCGGUCGGCACCUGUGCCCCGGUCUCCGCAACGUGAGGCGCAGGAGGGUCACCGGCCACCCAAUCAGCAGUGGUCGACACGCUGUCCGGACGGCUAUGAGGUCUCCGGACCAACGAUGGUGCGGCCUCCUCCUCCUCGUCAUCGUCGACGGUAAUCCGAACGAACCGACGACGCUUUGGCGCUCGGCUGCUCUCUGCUGGCAGCGUCGGCGCCGGCGACGGAUCCGCCGCCAUUGGCCUUUUCCCCGCCACUCUAUCCUCGGUGGUCGGGACGGGGCGGGCCUGGUCGUCCUCACUGAUGGUGUAACGAGUACACCGAGCAGCGUCUUCCUCCGGCGGAUAUUCUCCCGCAGGAUUCUCCAUUCCAGGUGCCAGUGAUACAUACACUGUGCACCGGUCGACAUCUCCGAUCUGCAAAAGUAACAAAGAUAAGUCAGCUGCAGACAACAUACGGAUGCUGAAGCGAAGUAAUCAAUAACAUACCUUAGGUGCUGGUCGCCCCAACUUGAAGGCUUGCACCCGAUCACUGCCACAGAUGAAGCCUCCGUCCGCGAAGUUGAACAGCUCGUUCAACAGCUGUUGUACCUCCGCCAUCUCCAAGAUCUCAGGUCGCAUCCUGGUCGGGUCCACGCUUCCGCCAUACUCGUACGCCGAGUGCACCCUCUUCUGGCAGGGCAUCACCCGACGGCACACGAAGUUGCCGACCACGCCUAGCCCGUCCAGACGCGACCAGUCGAUCAGCUGCAUCAGGUCUGCCACUUGACCGUCGUACUCUGGGCGAUCGGUCCAGCUCACCCUCUUCUCGGGGAUGUAUCCCACGUCGCAGAACGUGGAGCUACCCGGUUCCUCCCUGAUGUAGAACCACUUCCUGUACCAUUCAGUCAGGGAAGUGUUCCAGGGGCAGUGCAGAUAGCGGUUCUUCAUCCCGUCGCGAAGGUUGAGAUAUACUCGACCUGCAACCUUAGAGCCUCCAACUGCCCCCUUCUUUCUCAAACAAAAAAGAUAGCGAAAGAGAUUGAAGUGCGGUUCUAUGCCUACAUAGGCCUCGCACAAAUGGAUAAAAGUUGAAAUAAGAAGGAUUGAGUUCGGGUGCAGAUUGCAAAUCCCGAUCUCAUAAUACAAAAGAAGACCCUGAAGAAAAGGGUGAACAGGCACCCCAAAACCCCUCUUAACGAAAUCCUCGAACACGACGAUCUCACCGGCGCGGGGGUCGGGGUAGCUCUCCCCCUCCGGUGCCCUCCAGCCGCCGAGCUCCGGGCUGUGCAGUAGCCCCAUAUCGACGAGGUCACCGAGGGACUUGGCGGUGCUGCGGGAUUUCUUCCAUUCUUUGGCCAUCAGCUCGGCCCUCUUCUUUGAAUCGCUCUACGCCAUUGGAGGCGCGGAGGUGGAUUCGAGUUUGGAAGGUGUAGAUGAUUGAAGGAGGCAAGAGUGGAAGGCUUGAAGGCAAUGGUAGGGUAAGCAGUACAGGGGGAACUGUCGAGCUCUUAUAACCCACAACUUCACCCCUCCCACUUCCCACAUCCUCGGGAAGUGGGCGGGCCAUACGGCGGAUGCGGCGUUUCGGUUUUCAAUGAUUAUCGACAAUUAAUGCGGUGGAGUUUUCGUACAAAUUGAUGGUUUCUUUUUCUCAAACCGCGCAAAGGGCGGCCGUACAGUUGCCAGGCGCAACUUUUCAUGCAUCCAUCUGACAUCCCGUCAGGAGGUCUCGUCACGUCAACUUUUUCUGGAAAAAUUCUUCAAAACAAGCAGACAAAUAUGGCAGAGAGUCAACAAUCCAGGGACUGCACCGACCACCGAGCACUUGAUGCUCGGGGACUGGUCGAACAGUCUAUUAACUCGGAACUUCAACGACUGCACCGACCACCGAGCACUUGAUGCUCGGGGACUGGUCGACCAGUCUAUUAACUCAGAACUUCAAAGACCGCACGGACCACCGAGCACUCGAUGCUCGGGGACUGGUCGUCAGAUUUGUUGAGACUGCUCCGACCACCGAGCGCUUGCUGCUCGGGGACUGAUCGCUUAGUUUAUUGGUUUGGAAAUCAGCAAGCUAAAGAGUUCACCGACCAUUGUACACCCGGGGACUGGUUGACCAGAGCGUCGAACCGCAAACUCCAUGGUAACUGAGCAUGGGAUGCUUGGGGACUGGAUAAUUUCGGUUUUUUAAGACCUUGCUACAAGGUUCAUACUUCGCCUUCCAGCAAGCUCGGGGACUACAUCGGUACGAUGCAUCUAGCGAUGCAUCCCACAUACAAAGCAGCUUUGGAGAUUCUUCUUUGGACCCUGGCACCACGUGACUACGUCACCUGCUACCAGGCUCGGGGACUAAGUGGGCACACUUCACCUUGCGGUGAAUUUGCUUGUCUCGUUGAUGGACUGUACUUUUGAGAAAAGUAAAGUGGGCACACUACACCAAAAAAGGAAUAUUUUUUCUCGAGAGCACCAUGCAUUCUUCGAACAGUUGGCUUCUUUGAUGAUAAAGUUAAUCGGACGCCUUUAGAUUUGUUCAAACUGUUGUCGCAACUAUUUGGGCAAUUUUCAUAAUGAUUGAAGAUAUUAAGUUUCAUUGGUCAAAGAAGCUCAAGACGGCGUGUUACUUCACAAUACAUGGUGCUCGGGUACUAGCUGUGGGGGUAUAAAUCCCAAUACCCUUACGGCUAAACUUGGGCCAGGAGGCUUGGCCCAUUACGAGACAAGCUCAAGGUUUGAUCUGACUUCUCGGAGUUUCGCGCAAGGAAACAAGACGUGGAGAUCAAACAUGAUUCUAGUCGGUUAGAAUAGGAAUUGAUAUCGAACUAUCUAUGGCAAUUGUAACCGACUAGGAUUAGUUUCUAGAUCUGUAGCCCUGCCCUCCGGACUAUAUAAGGAGAGGCAAGGGACCCCCCUAGGACAUCAUAUUCUCUCAACACAAAUCAAUACAACCCGACGCAGGACGUAGGUAUUACGCCAACUCGGCGGCCAAACCUGGAUAAAAAGCUUGUCCGUGUCUUGCGUCACCAUCGAGUUCGUAGUUUGCGCACCGUCUACCGAUAAACUACUACCGUGGGUAUACCCCAAGGUAGACUGCCGACCAGCUUUCGUCGACACUGGUAUUCCCCUAUGAUCAGGUAUUCUGGUAGGAGUUCUGUAAAGUCCCUAUCGGCUGGAUGUCCAGCUGCAGGGAUCUCCACAGAGCCUCAGACUUAGUUCUAACUCUAGUUAUAUUGAUUAGAUGUUCUACUAACAAUUCUUUGCAUAGUUAUAUAAGAUAAAUGCCGGCUCAAGUAGUUGUUCUUUAUUUCUUUUAUUUCCUUAUUUACUCUUUAUUCCUUGAGGUUGCCCUCAUGAGUGUGUCCACUAUCCAUAUUUUAAGAGCUUGUCGUGACCCCUCAUUACACUAUGUCUACCCAUGCAUCGCAAUAAGUGAUCAUGCUACAAACCAAGCUAGAUGCAUUUGCUACACCCUCCUAUGGGAUUAAACACGAUAACCCUUGAAUACUCAUGGGUUGAAAUGCUACAAUGAUAGUUCUGUUCGCUUGCAGUUUUAUUCUUUAUAUUCAUGAACUAUUGAUCGGUGUACCUAAGUACCGCUACUUAAGAUCGUAAACUCUAUGCAUUUAUCUGGCGCCGUGCUACAUCUUUGCAUAUCGUAAGUAAGGAUGGUUAGGAUGGCCAUUCCGGCAUUUCUAAUUACUGUUACCAGACUGCACUGCUAAGGCUAGCGCCGUUAAAGGCCUUCUGUUAUCUCUCUAACAUAACGAUAGUUAUUGUAUACCAACACCCGACAUUUCUGGUGCCAUUGCUAAUGAUGAUUUUAUAGUGUAUCUUUAGUAGUGACGCUAAGAAAUGCCAACAAGCAUUUUUGGCACCGUUACCGGGGAGGGCAAAGAACAAUGCAAACAUCUAGCUUUGGCAUUUAGCAUUGAUUACAAAAUAAGCAUUGGUAGCCAUAGUUAGGCUUAUCUUUGUUGUUUCCUUCCUCUUUUUAUUGGAAUGGAAACAGGAUAGUGUAUGAGCGGUUUCAACUUGCCGGCAAACUUCAACAGCAAUUCGGAGGCACUCCUAAGGAAGAAAAGGACCCGUGUCGUUUCUUCCUCUACCACGCCGCCGACAGUCGAACCAAUCACCCCGCACCAUCUGUUUCAACCACCAUGGCCAGGUCACUCUGCAACUAUUCCACCCCCGCUGUAGCCAACGUGCCCGUUGGACCCGCAGUCAACACUGGGAAUGAAAACUUCGAGCUUCGCACUGGCCUACUCACGAUGGUGUAGGCAAACCAGUUCUAUGGUUUGCUAAGUGAGGACGCAAACGUGCAUCAACAGAACUUCCUUGAGUUGUGCGAAACCGUCAUCAUCAAGGAUGUCGCACCUGAAAGCGUCAAGCUCUACUUGUUUCCCUUUUCCCUCUCAAGGAAGGCGAAGCAAUGGUUCUACUAGACAAGAAAGCUGUCAACACGUGGGACAAAUGUUCCGCGGCAUUCCUCAUGAAAGUUUUCCCCAUGAGCAAAACAAAUGCUCUGAGGGGAAGAUAUCAAACUUCUAGCAGACUUCACUCGAAUCCAUUCCUGAGGCUUGGGAAAUGCUCCAGGAGUACAUCUGGGCCUGCCCCCACCACGAGAUGGAAGAUUGGCUCGUGCUUCAAAAUUUCUAUGACGGCUCACGCCCAUGUCUAUGGGGCAUGUCGAUGCCGCUGCUGGAGGCGCGUUCCUCUGCCAGACCAUUGACAAUGCUAUGGAAUUAAUUGAGAAGAUGGUAGCCAACCAGAGUUGGGGAGCGGGACGCAAAACACAAAAAGGCAUGCAUACCGUGAAAGAGAUGGAUUUGCUUGCCACAAAAAUAUACCUACUAAUGAAGAGAUUGAACAGACAGGCCACUGAUCCUACCACCAGCAUUGUCCAAGCCAUCGACUCGCGCAUGACGUGUGAGGAAUGUGGGAAUGUUGGCCACAUGGGGAUCAAUUGCCCUGGAACCCAGGAGGACACAUCGUUCAUCAACAACAGGUUCCACCAACAACAGCAAGGUAAUGGGUGGAACAACCAGAACCGCUCCCAAGAUAAUUACUCCAGUUUUAAUUCCUCCCAGACUUCGCUGAAAGAUCUUGUGCUAGGUCAGGCCAAAAUCAAUGAGAAUCUUGUUAAAAAGCUUUCUGAAAAUGAUCAAAUGUUUGUCAACACAAAUACAAAGCUUGAUGACCUGACCCUUUCUAUUAGAGAUCAGCUAGCUUUUAAGAAGAAGAUUGAGUUAAAAGUAGCUCAGCUUGCUACUGCCGCUAAAGCUGUUGUUUCUCAUGAUUCCAUGGAAAAUGUAAAUGCGGUGACCACGAGAGGGGGUAAGACCACUCGUGAUCCCCCUUAUCCUAACCAUAAGACAGGAAGGGCGCCACGGCAACAGGAGGAAACACAGGCAGAAGGGCCGGCUCAACCAUCAGAAGAAUCCAUGGAAGACGAGCCGACCCCAAACAACUAUGGGGACACCAUGAUGCUACCCUUUCCCACAAUAGAAAGGAGGAAGAAGAAGGACGGAAAUGAACAGUUCCUCCGCUUUGUGGAAAUGGUCGAAAAGACGCACGUUAGUGUACCGUUGAUGGAUGUCUUGCAUAUUCCGUCCUACUCCAAGUUCAUCAAGGACAUCAUCAACAAGAAGUGACCAUUGCCGUCCACUGAAGUUGUCAAGCUGACAGAAGAAUAUAGAACAGCUAUAUUCAAUGAGCUGCCCGAGAAGAAGCAGGAUCCUAGGUGCCCCACAAUCCCUUGCUCAAUUAGGGCCUAGCAAUUCGAGCACGCCCUAUGUGAUUUGGGGCGAGUGUGAGCGUCAUGCCGAAAUUAGUCUUUGAUAGGCUGAACUUCACCAGCUUGGAGCCAACCACCAUGACACACCAGUUGGCAGACUCGUUAGUCCGGUACCCGGCAGUGAUUGCUCAAGACAUCCCUGUCAAGAUCAGAGGAUACUAUGUUCCAGUGGAUUUUCUGGUGCUCAACAUGGAGCUCACUAAAGAAACACCACUAAUCCUAGGAAGACCAUUCUUGAGUACGGCUGGAGCACAGAUUGAUGUUGGGGCUGGAGAAAUCCGCUUCAACAUUAAUGGCCAAGAAGAGAAGUUUGAGUUCAGGCCACGUCGUCAAUAAGAGUGCAACAUGAUACGCAUCCUCUAUGGGCUAAACCCCCAAGGCAUCAGGCAAGUUGAGAUCCAGCCUAAACUUAUUAAAAAUACAAAAAUAUCUAAGAAAAAGCUAGAGCCAAAAGAAAAGGCGGCUCCUAAGAAAAAUAAUAACGAGCAGAAAAAGAAAAUAACUCCUUAAAAGAAUGAAAAGAGGGACGAAGUCCCCAAGCCUUCACAACCGAAGGAGGUGUGGAAACCAAAGCAGAAGGUUGAACAAACUUCCACACCUCCAAAGGUGAUACUGCUAAAGUGGAGGCCCAAGCAGGUGCAACCGCCUACUCCUCCCAAGACGGAUGUGCCAUCAUCAAGCAAGAAGUAAUGGGAGAAGAGUCCCGCUCAACGGACUAUAAAGAUGAGCCCUUGCCGAAGGUAAAUCGGUAAGUUAUCCCUAGGUAAGUUUUUACUUAUAAAAAAAUAUAAAUAUAUAUUUUCUUUUUACUUAUUUUUUUAUUUUUAUUCUUUCUAUUUAUGUUUUGAAUAAAUGGAGCAUUUGUUAUAUUUAUGAGUAGUCCAUAUUGCCCCUAUGAUCCUUUCUUCAUCUUUGAAUCUUUGUGAUCAUAGGUAUCAAUCACUCAUAAAUGCAUGAUAGUGUGAUAGCUUUUAGAAAGUUUUCAAAAUUCAAAACUCUAUCCCACACACUAUGACUCUGAUUCCACUAUGCAUCAUGAUUGAUCGUAACCAGGAUCGCAAAAUACUCAAAGAGGGAAAGAAAUACCCGAAAGACAGAGGCCGACUGGUGGACCUAGUGGGGCGGCGGCACCCCCAGGUCCGCCAAUCGGCCCCAAUCUUUUUCUCUUCCUCUUCUGCACUGAUUAGCAUCAUGUCUAUGGUUACGAUCAAGUUGUUUCCAGAUCAGAGACUGUGUUAGCACCUAUAAAAUCCUCCAUAGGCCUCUUCUCUUCUCACACCAACCAUUUCUCAUCUCCCUCUUGUGAAGAUUGCUAAGCUCUCCCAUUCUUCAGUAGUGACCAUGUCUAGCUAUGUGUUGGGUAUUCUUAACAUCAUUACAAAAAGUAGACUUAGUUUUCUAAUUCUGAUAACAGCGCCAAAAAUGCCGAACCUAUCACUCAUGCCACUUAAGCCAAGUUGUCAUCCCCAGCAUGACAUGAGAGACGCGGUAUUGAAAUAUGCAAUUACUCUUCUCAAUGAAUAAUAAAUGAGAUCUACAAGCACACAGAUUAAUACCGAUGUAGCAUUUUAACCGGGAAGUAUUCCAGGUAUUGUUAUUUAUAUUUUUACCACUGGAAAGGGAUUGCUAAUCAUCAAUGUUGAUUAUGGAAUGAAAUAUGAAAUUGAGUAUCUAUCAUUGCAUGUCCAAUAGAGAGCAUUUAUCUAUCUCUUUCAUAUAGUGAUAAAUGUCACAUAAAAUAUAGAUAAAGUAUGAAUGGUGACAAAGAUAAUUAAUCUGAUCAGCAUAACUAGCCACAUAUAAUAAUGAUAAGCACUUCAACAGAUAUUCUAGCAAGUCAUUAGCAUGGAAUUAUGAUGAACUACAAGAAUAUUUCCUAAGUUAUUCUUAACUAUAAAGUUUAGCAUAUUAUAGUUAGUGCUAUUAUACUUGGCAAUCAUUGCGAGAUAGGACUACACCCAUGCAUAAUGAUAUUAUCAAGGAAGAUGAGAAACAUAGCAAUCACUCCCCUGUAAUAAUGUUGCUCUUCCUACCCUAUACACGGGUGGGGGACUAUAUAAGAAUCAAUGGAGCUGUCACCACCAUGAACUACCCCGCGAUCCGGCACAUAGGAUACAAUCGUAGAUAAAUACGGUAUAGGCACCAUGCCUACACAAUACUUAUCAUUUACCCACUGUACACAUGGAUAAAUGCUAUACAAUCCUAAACAUGUAUAUAAUUAUAAUCUAACUAAGCCAAGCAUAUAACUAUGAUAAACUAAGAACGAUAUAAUUACAAAUAUAAAUAAGUAGAGCAAAGUCAUAAUCAAUAUAUUGAAGUAGAACAAAGUCAUAUUCAUAAUGUUGAAGAACAAUGAUGAACAAAUGAAGAACAUUAGAGGAAUUACCAAGAAUCCUCUUGACAGAUCCAGAAACCAAUCGAAGAUUGACUCCUUCUAGUUCUAAUCCUAUGUAGCUAUGCUAAACUAGAGAUCUAGUUGAUGUGGUGGCUCUAGGGCUUGAUCAGAGACUUCUUCUCUCGAGAUGAAUGAAUGAAUUAGGGUUUCCGAGGUGCCUCCUCUAGGGGCCAGGGGGCCUGCUUAUAUAGUCCCUCCAAAUGAAUAUGGGCCGUCGGAUCAAACCGAUCUUAAUCGCAUGGUUUUCCUUAAUCCUCUAGGUCGGUGGAGCAUUAUCCGCGAGACGGAGCUUGAUUGGCCCAGGCAGCAGGGCGGGCGCCUAAGGGGGGAGGGUGGGCACCCUGUCCCUGGGCCCGCUCGGCCUCCCGCUCGUUCCCGUGGCUUCUGGACUCUUCUAGGUUAGGGAAAAUUGCGCGACACGUAAUUAUCUCUAUGUAAAACCGACGUGUGGGCCUUUCCUCCAUAUUUCCUGAUAACCCCAUGUAGAAAUAGACAAACACCAAAACUCAUGGAAUUCUAUCAGAUAAAACCCUAACUCUGGGUGUCGGAUGCAUUUGGGUCCUUUUCUCUAUUUAUUUGUUGAUUAUAUUUAAUACUUAAGGACCAUCAACAAACUCCCCCAAGCUUAUCUCUUGCUCGUCCCUAAGCAAGGAUAAUCUCAGUGAUGGAUCAGAAGUUGUUGUAAUGCCUUUGAGUUUUGACGGUACACAUACUUUCAAAUAAGGUCUCAUCUCUGAGUUAGAGUAAACCGUCAAUACUUAAAACUUACUCGUUUUACCUUUCACCAUGGGACUUGUAACCAUCACUUCUGUCUUGAGCAGUUAAAAGAUAGAACGGUCUAGUCAAGGGCCAUGUCUCUUAUUCUUGAUCAGCUAUAGCUCUGGAGUUUUUGCAGAUUUUCAAAUAAAACUCAGAGAUUCCUUGUAUGACUCUCUCAGAUCUCUCUUUUGUGGUAUUUCUAGAUCCUUACCAAGGCAGUGAUGGUAUAUGGCUUCUCUCAAACUAUGUAGUAUUUGUGGUAUGAAGCAUAGUGACCUUGCCUUCUCUCUCACCCUACUUUAAUAAGGCUUUUGAUAUCUGGAGCUCAUUGGUGGGAGAUAGAGUAUACAUACUUACAAGACAUUUAUUACAUAGUCAAACCAUGGAUCUAGAGGAACAGGUCAAUAAGUCAAAUCAAGAUGUGCAUGUGUGGCGAAUGAAUGGUGUAUGGUGAUGAUGGUGAUAACAAUGGUGAAAGUCUAAUUCUACUUUUUGCUCUUUUGAGGGGAUACAUAUCGUUCUUGCUCUUUUGAAACUUUUUGAGGAGAAUGAGAUGCUCUACAUUUUCUUUUUAUUUCCUCUCAGGUGGGUAUCCUGUACCCUAAUUCUACUGUUGGACACUUGUCCUUUUUACCUCUCGUCUCACUUUUUCUUUUCUUUUGAGGUUCCAGGCACUUGCCUCUUUUUAUUUCCUCGUAUCCUUUCUCUUUUUUUAGAGCACUCAUCUCCUGAAAUAAUAUAGCAAGUGGUAGUAACCAAGAUAACUCGAGCAUUUAUUUCACAUGGAAAAACAGAAAUAGGAGAAUGUUUUUGGCUAUUCUCUCUCGGAUUAGUAGUAGAAUACUUUUGGGUGCCUCUAGAGACGGAAAUGAGUGGAUAUAUGUGAAUGCGUACUUCCAGAGUAGAAGCAGCAUGUGUGAGUGAACGUGCAAGUGAAUCUUGAUUUUAACUGCAUGACAAGCUCCUAAGGGUCUACACAGCUUGACCACACUCAAUGCUCAUAAGCAGUAAAAAGUAAAUGUGUGGCUCAAAGUCUAGCAAGCAUGUAUGUAUGGCUGUGGUAGGAAUUUAAACUCUCAUCAUACAGGAACUCAUCAUGUGAUAUUUUAAAGAUUUUCAAAGAUAAAAUUCUCCAGAUUUCUAGCAUCUCUAGGAAUAGAUAAACAGCAGCUUAACCUUCCCAUAUCAUAUCCGUUAACAACUUAGACUUCAGGUCAAGUUCUCUUCGCACAAGUUCUGGUUUUUAGAGCAAGCUUUAAAUUAUAACAGUUAUGUCUAAACUAGAGAGAGAACUAUUGCAGAACCACCCUAAUUAUAUGGCCCACAUGCACCUGUCAUUGUCCUUAAGACCUCUGACUAAUGCACAUGAGAGUCAUAUAACUCGGAUAGUCUGUCGGGUGCCCUCAGAGGACCCUGAAUCAUCCACAUUUUUUUACUCAUACAGGAUCAACAUGGAAUUACCACAACAUUACAACAUUUAUUACAAAAAAAACUUACAUCGGAGUGCAGAAGAUUUAUAACCUAAUUUACAAAAUAUGAUGAAGUACAAACUUGACUAAAUUUCCAAACAGUGUGUAGAGUAGCGGAAGCAACUUAGGUGAAGCUUCUAAGAUAGAAGAGGUGGACAAAUCAUGUCGCGCCCACCGACAUGACCUCCAUUUGCAGCAUAAGUCAACACCUGCAACAGGGGUUAUAAAACCCUGAGUACGGGAGUACUUAGGAAGACUUACCUGGCGAAAAAAGAGGAGAACUUAGGAAUGCAGGCUUUAGGGUCGACAAGGAGUGGCUGAGCAAGGAGCCAAGUUGUUUUGCAUAAAAGCUUACUAAUAGUGCAUCCUUACUUUCAAGUUUUACCCAUGAAUUGCUCGCCUCGAGAGGCCGAGGAAUUAGAGGACAGUCUAUUUAGUUGCUUUUCAUAGACAAGUCUAUGAUUUCCUAGUCCUAACCAAAAAUGUUAUUUAUCCGACGACCAUAGCUUCAUGUCACUCGGAUUUCGGGAAUUGGGAUCCGAACCUCAUGAGACAUUUUCUUUUUCCCUAUUUUAUAGCUUAGUUGCAUAUUUAACUAUGAUGAGGGUCAAAGGAAUUGAGUCUCCCAAUCGGGGAGCAAUGACGAUUCUAAUCGCUUAGCAAUCCAGCUGGAGUUCCUAACCACCCGACAUAUGUAGAACCGAAUCUUGCAUAUGUCAACCCAAAAUCUAGCUUUCCCAAGAUCUGAACGGGUUCGCGUCACCCAAGAGCACAGUACCCCACCGUCCAGCCCAUUUGCCAGGUGGGUACACGCUACUCUCGCCAUCGCCCUACGCCCAGUGCGCGAGUAGCCGCUCUCGUCGAGGAAUCACAAGACCGGGCUUACCGAGGGCAAGUGGUUAGUACUAUAAAUUCUCAACCCAGCAGGCCAUCAACAGACCGGUCCUUAAUCGACACAGUUGGAGACACUACUUUAAGACUCCAUUCUUAAAGCAAGUCCACCAACCGGUCUGAGGUUGAAACAUCAUUGACCAUAAAAGUAUUCCACAACAACCCUUCAAACUUUCUAGUUUGAAAACCUAUCUAAUAAGCAGGGCUAAGCAUCACUACGUAAUUUUAAAAUAAACAGGUGCCAAGGACAAGAUAACAAAUAUCAAGGUAGUAAAUGCAAUAGGAAGGUUAUGCCCAAUUCUUGACUACGUAAUGCAACAUUUUCAAUUCAUAAGUGAUAAAAGAUUUAAAAUAUUCAAGGAGGGGUUGAAUGCAUCCGGGGCUUGCCUUGGUUGCAGAGCUGAGUGGGUUCCUUAGAGACUUCCCAAGUCUCGGUUCCAACUUCCUCGAACGGAACACCAACCUCGGGAUUUGGAUCAACGGUCACUCCUUCGGUGACGUGCACUAUACGUAAAAUGAUGUAUGCUUAUGAUAUGCUUAUGACAACAUAUAAGAAGGAUUUAGUUGAGUACAACUUUUCUUCUCGCUGCAAAAGCAGGUUAAAACAAUAAUCAAAUGUUGUUUAUCACUUUAGUGUUUUUACCCAAGAAGUUGCAACAGUAAGCUAAGACCUUUCUUAAUUUAUAAUUAUUCUCAAUUAAUUAAUUAUUAAUCUCUUUUAUCAUAACUAAUCUUUAAUUAAGCAUUAAUGACAGUAAUUAAGCAUCGGUACCAAACAAUAAUUAAAUGCCAAAGGUCAUUAAGGUUAACGACCCCAGGUCAUCACACAAUCCCAAAAUCACUCAAAUCCUAAUUUAGAAAUUAAGCUAAUUACUAUCUAAUUAUUUUAGAAUUAUUACUUAAUUACUAAUUAAGGGUAUAUUAAUAUUUUAAUCAAAUUUUAUCCAAACACCGCCAAACUUUUUGUGAAGCCAGGAAAUAUUACUCAGAGACACCUCACAGAUUUUGGUGAUUUUUGGACAUAUAAAUAAAUUCCUAAAAUUCGUGGAAGUUCUAUUUACUAAAUAAAGGACACAAUUUUUGAACAUGCCUAAAGUAUCAGAAAAUGAAAUCUAACAUUUUUCUUAUAUUCUACUUACUGUACAGAACCUAUACAGAAAUUUUCAUCAUUCUUGAAUCUGCACAACUUUUUCUAUACAUAUUCAAACAUAAAUCAAAUUUGCACACAUAACCAGGACAGCAGCAUAUAUGCAACUUCAUUCAACUAUAAUUAGAGAUCCAAGCAUCCAAUAAAGGUGAUAUUACACUUUCUAGAUUAGAUAAUUAUCUAGGACCUGGUUAUUAUUUUCAAGAACUGAUUCAAUAGGUAAAUUGCCAAACAGCAUGAAGAAAUAAUCAUGUCUAGACAUUGGACAGAAUCAACCAUUAAGCUUUAAAUAUCUAUAACCAGAGUUCUAGAUCACCAAAAUUCAUGAUCCAUAACAUUUUGGAAAGCUUAUGAAAAUUACUACAAUUCAUCUUUUAUCAUUAAAGCAUGAUUCAUAAGUUUAGCAAGUUAAAAUUACACUACUACAGAAACUGAUCCAGGAUUUGACAGAGGAGAACCAUUUCUAAAACUUAAAUUUAAACAGGCAUAAUUCAGAAAAUACAGAGACAAAUGCCACCAAAAUUUAACACCUGCUAGAUACAUGAAUUCUAUAAAACUUGGUUAUAGACAAGUUUCAUAUCCAACAUUAUUUACUUAGAGCAAUUCAUAAUGCUCUAGAAAUUGUCGAGAAACCACUAACAUUUAAAUUAUAGCGAAAGAACAUUUCAUUUAUGUUCCAAACUUGAACCUUGGCAAAACUCAGCUUACCAACAGUUGAAAUACAUCAAAUAAAUACUAGAAAACAUCAUGGUCAUCCCUAAAUAAAUUCCUUUCAUGUCUUUAUUAAUUUAUUUAGGUAAAUAGACAAAGUAAUAACCAUAUAUCAAAAGUACACAGUAAAACCUGAGAAAACUACAACAGCUCAUAUAUGCUCUCCGAAGUCUACUGUAUAAAUUUCAUGCCAUUUGGAUAAGUAUAGCAAUUUCUAUGAAAAAGAUAAUUUUCCAUCACAAGGAAGCAUGUAACAGCAAGAUAAAUAAGAAACUCAACAUUUUUACAAACACAUAGCUAAAUUAUGUAUCUAUAUGAUAUAACAACCUCAUAUAAAGGUAGCGGAACCAUAUUUUACAUUUAUUUAUUUUUAGUUUAAUUGUAAACUAUUUAAUAAGCACUAAAAAAGAUAAAUUAAUAACUUAACCAUAUAUCAUCCACUGAACAUGAAAUCUUUACUGUAACACUCACAUAACAUCAUGAGAACACCAUAAAAAUCUAGGGCCCAUAGGAGCUCCAUAGAAUUAGAUAUGAAUUUCUACUUUUUAAACAUAAUUAAAAGGCAUAAAUCAUAACCAAUUAUUUUACUACAAAACAUGGCCAGUUUCAUUUUGUAAUAACAACUACACAUCUCAAGGAGCACAACAAAAUUUGGUUCACCAAAAUUGGAGUUACCAAACUCCAUAUAUGAAUUUUCAGAGAUCUAACAAAACAUCUACAAACAGGUCCUGAUGGCACUAUUCAGUUGAGUCACGAACUUCGCAGUUAGACCCUUGCCUUGUGUCGAAUUCUAACGCGAAGUCCCUGGCGCAAAUUGAAAACAGAGGAGGCGCACGGGAAAGCUGGAUUUCCGACCGGUGAACGUCUGUUGGCGACAAGGGAGAGGUGCUGGAGCAUGGUUGGGCCUAUGUGCACCCUCUGGUGACCACGGCUUGCUGCGACAAGGUCUGAGGUGGCACGGCCACGGUGAAGGGCACAGCGGAACACUAGCGAUGCAGAGAGAAGCGAUGGCAACGUCGCGAUAUAGCGGCACCAAGGCACCCUUGCAGCUUAACCAGUGCGUAGCGAUGCCGCGAAGCUGCGACAGAAGCAAAAAGGUGGCUAGAAGGGAACUGGGGCGAGCUUGAGCGGCGGGCGGGGCUUGCCGGCGCUAAGCAAGAUGACCAGAGGAAGGGGCUAUGGCGGUUCUGUGGUGCGGAUGAGGGCGACCAAGAGGUAAAGAGGAUGACGAGCAAGCUGCCAAGCAGCUGCGUGUCCGGGCGCGUGGCGGCGUGGGACGCUGCACGUCCACCGGCGGCACUGCCGCAGUGCAUCCCCCUCCGUGAGCACUGUAGCAGGUUUUAUCCCUCCUUUCUGUUUUUUUCAAUUACUUCACAAUUUUGAAUAGAAGUCAAAUUUUGGUCAAAACAAAGUUUGUUCAAAAUUUGAAACUCUACAAAACUUAUUUAAGGACCCAGAGCCAAUUUUGAGUGGAAGUGUAUGAAUUUGAGUAAAACGGUAUGAAAUUCAAAUUCAAAAUUGGGGGAAAAUCCAAUUUGAAUUUGGUCAGAACGGAAAUUCCAAUAUUACAUUUGAUUUUGCAUAAUGACUUGAAAAAUUCUCAAAAUAAAAGUUGUUCAAUUUGUUGAGCUCUACAACUUUCAUGUUGGUCACUUUUCAAGAUUCCAAACAGAUUUUGAAUUAGGGAUUCAAAUUGGAAAAGAGGACAAUUUGUGGAAAUCUGUAUUUUCAAAAUUACUUUGAAUUUUGUAUUGAAACUUCAAAAACUCAAAACACCAAAGUUGUACAUCUUGACAAGAUCUACAACAUUUCUUUAGAUCUCAACCUAAAAUUUUACAUAGUUUUUAAAUUGCACAAAGGAGGCAAAACUAGAGUUUUAAAAUCAGGGUUUCCCCCCCUUUUUCUCGGAAUCCUCCAACACAAGGGAUUUCACAACCACGCUAGCAUAAUUGCACUAUAAAAGCACACUUUAUUUCCCUAAGCACAAGCAACCAAAGUAAACUUGUUUUAAGUUGAUGCAUCAGGUGGUGCAUAAUCAAUAUGCUAUGCAAUGCUUAUGAUGACAUGAUCCAGUUUUAGUAUCCGUAACAUCAGGGAUGUUACAAGAACUUCAAAUUUGAAAAUUAGGCAGAGCAACUAUUCAUCAUAUCCAUGCUAGAGUUUUAUUAAGAUUUAGUUUAGCAUAGCCACUUUAUUUAUUUAUUAAGCACACUAAGCAAAAGAUAUAUAUAUAUAUGAGCACAAAAUCUUAUUGGUUUUUCAUGGUUAUGUAUAUUUUUUAUUUUAAUAUAGUAUAAGUAUAAAUGUAGGUAGAAAUACUUAUCGGGAUAAAUGGGGGUGCUCUCCCCCAAGCUGGAUUUUGACGUAAUUUCUUCUGAUGUAGCUAGCAGGUGGUGGAGGUGUUUUUGAAAGUCGGCAGCACCCUGACAGCGAUUAGAAUGUCCUCCGUCCGCUAGUCUUCUUGAUCCUUGAAUUCUGUGGAGCUCAAAUAGACAACAAAGCUUUGUGGAACUAAUUAGGUGUUAGCAUAAAUAUCUAGCCUUUAUCAUGUUGAGCAUCCUCAAUAAAUGCUACUUUCUUUGGUAGGAUCACAAUUUUAUUUUUAUAUUUUCAUUUUUAUAGAGCAGAAGCAUAUUAUUAUUAUUUUUUAUGCCACCAUAGUGAAUGUACUUAUGGGUUUUAUGCCAUUUGUAUACUCACAUGGUGCUUACUGGUUUUAACAUUUUUAUUUUUCUUUUCAAGAUGAUAUGAACCUGAUUAACUGAACUAGCUAUUUUUAAGAAAAAGUAAAUGAUUUAAAAGGAAAGAGAUAACUACCAAGUUUACCUCUUGGCAAGGCGUUCGGUGUUUUUAAGUCCUCUGAACGGUACUCUCUGUUUUCUCAGUCGUCCUGGGAUUCGCUGGAUGGCGUAGUCGGUGGUUCCGGCGGCGCCUCGUCUUCGUGUAUAACUAUCAUCUCUCUACACACCUGACUCGGUGCUACGGUCUCCAUAGGACAGUUCUACUCAAGCUAUAUGUCUUAAGACCUUACCACUUCUUCUUUGUAGUCUGCCCAUCCGUCCUUGAUGAUUUGCCUCCUCUGGUUCGGUUACAUCGUCUUCUUCUUGUGCUGACCUACUUAGAGUCUUCAACUAUAUAGUUAGGGUCAGCAAAAUAGCGGCGUACCUUCUCAGAGGGGAAGUGCAUGUUGUUGACGGUCCUUAAGUAUCAAAUUUAGUCAUCAUAUAAAUAAAGAAAAUGAUCCAAAUGCAACCAACACCCAGACUUAGGGUUUUAUCUAACAGAAUUCCAUGAGUUUUGGUGUUUGUCUAUUUUUGCAGGGGGUUAUCAGGAUAUAUGGAGGAAGGGCCCCAAUGUCGGGUUUACAUAGAGAUAUUAACGUGCCGCGCAAUUUUCUAUCAUCUAGAAGACUCCAGAAGCCACGAGAACGAACCGGAAGCCGAGCAGGCUCGGGGGCAGGGCGCCCGCCCUCCCCCCUUGGGCGUCUACCCAGCUACAGGAACCAAUUAGGUUCCGCCUCGUGGAUUAUGCUCCACCGACCUAAAGGAUUAAGGAAAACCGUGCGAUUAAUGUCGGUUUGAUCCGACGGCCCAGAUUCACUUGAGGGGACUAUACAAGCAGACCCCCUGGCCCCUGGAGGAGGCACCCCCCUUGAUCCCUAUUCAUUAUUCAUAGACAGAGCAAAAGCUAGGGUUUAGAGAUGAGAGCUCUCCUCUCAUCUCUAAACUAGAGUAGAUCUAUAUAGUAUCGAGAUGGAGAGCGAGGGAGGAUUAGAGGAGAGGCCGGCCUGUCGGUUCUUCCUCCGGUUGUACUUCGCCAUGAUCAAGCUCUAAUCAAGCUUGCUCAUGGAAUGACUGUGGUAAUCUACUUCUAUUUCAUUAUGCAAUUACUAUCCAUGUAUGUUAUGGUUCACAACUCUUUUGAGUACUUUAAUCUAUAGGACGCUAUAGGUGAGAGUUUUAGUAUAGGUGUAAGCGUGGUGCUUAGACCUAGAUUACUUGUGGAUAUCACUUGUUAGCCGGAUCGUGUGGUAGGCCGCGUAUGUGACAGCUAUGUUGGUCCCCUGUAGUCCACCUCCCGUUAGCAGGACUGGUAGGGUUUAUCGGCCUAUGGACAAGCAUCCUUUGUGGUGUAUUCUUAUCACGUGGUUCGUCCCAGACAUAGACAUACCUCUUUGAAGUAGAGAAACCAUAGUUAUCCUCUCUAUUCUCCUACCAUCGCCCAUAUACUAGAUUGCUCUACACUCUAUUCCCAUAUUAUCACCCAUUGUUAUCUUACCUUUAAUAUUGUUCUUAUUCGAUUCUACGAUCUUUCCUAUUUACACCUACCUAUCUAUCUAGGUUAUGUUAGAGCGUAGAUCAGUUCUCCCGUUUCCCUGUGGAUACGAUAAAACAUUUAACCGAGUAAAAGCUACAACGGUAUCCGUGCGCUUGCGAAUUUAUCUGUGUGCGUAUAAAUACCAUAGUACACUCUAGUGCCAUGUUGGGGAUGACAACCUAGUAUUCAAGUGGUGAUAGCUAGUGUCAACAAGUAUUUUUUGCGCCGUUGCCCGGGAGACGGUUGCUGAGUUGACUACAAACUAGCUUAAUCAUUUUCUAAAAAAUAAUAAUAAUAAUAAUAAUAAAAAAAUAUUUCCUUUUGUCCUUUGCCUCAUCUAUGCUAUUCUUUCUUCUUAUCUAAUCCUUGAUUUCUGGUCUAUCAUAAAUGCAAACAUGUCUAUCUAUCAGUUUCAUAGACCUACGAGCACACAUCUCGAACCACCAAAAUCUUCAAAGCCUAUCAUAGCAUCUAGUUUUGAGAUAGACCCCGAAUACAUAGAAUUUGUUAAAAAACAACCUUUCUCAGGAGAAGGUGAGGAAAACCUAUACACACACCUAUGAGAGUUUUAUCGAGUCUGUGACCUCCUUCGCAUUGAAGGCAUAUCCGACGAGACACUUAAAUGGAAGCUCUUUCCGUUCUCUUUAACAGGAAAAGCUAGACAUUGGUACAAACUCAAAGUAGGGAGUGUUCAUGAAGAUUGGAAGGAGUUAUAUAAUAGUUUUCUUUUUAAAUAUUUUCCAAUCUCCAAAGUGGCGGAACUUCGGCGUGAGAUUAUUUCUUUUAGACAACUGGAAGAAGAAUCUCUUGGCAAAUCAUGGGACCGCUUUAUUAACCUUACUCUCACUAGCCCAAAGCUUUCUAUUCCAUAAGAAGUUAUUCUAAUUCACUUUUUUGAGGGCCUUAGUAGGUAAAAUAAGCAAAACCUUGAAUACAACCUCUAGAGGAUGCUUCUAUCACCUACUUGCUAAUGAAGCUAGGGAUUUAAUCGAUUCAUUGAGUGGAAAGUUUCCUAGCAUUUAUAUCCCUGAGGAAGAGAAAGAACCAGAUCCUAGACAGGAAGAGGAAGUUUCGAUAGCCAGAUCACAACUACUUCAAUCCCAAACUUUAGCUAUCGAUCCUAAACCAUCAAUACCCCAAAAUUCUCCAAGGAAGGAAUUCCAACAUUAAAUCUUUUAGAUACUGAUGGUUUAGACUUCUGGUUCCAUAAGAGACUUUUAAGCAUAGAUAAUUCAAAUCCUUGCAAUAAUGGUUCUCUUAGAGAAUGUCCUGGUUCCUAUUAUGAAGAAGUCGAGGAUGACAUAUCAAGUGAAGGAGAGCUAAACCAUAUAGAAGAUUCUAUCUGCUCCCCUUCCAUGUUCACAAAUUCUAAAUCCAUCCUUGACCUUAGAGACCCCUCUUAUCCCUCUCCUUUUCAGUCUCAUGAUGAUCCUAACAAUCCAUCAAGAUGAUCAAACCAAAGGAGUCAUAAAGACCAUGAGGAUGACAUGUCAAGUAAUGUCAUAGAAGGAGAGCUAAGCCAUAUAGAAAAUUCUAACACCUCUCCUUUCCUAAUCACAAGUUCUAAAUGGCUAGAAUGUGUAGAAUGGAUGGAUAAGGAAGAAGCCUUAAUGGAUUCUGACUUUGGCUCAAUUUCAAAUGAUGAGUUCUUGACUCCCUUUGGAGAUGAGAUUCAUCCAACUACUGAAGAGGACAUAGGUGAGACCAAUCCAGGAGAAACUCCGAACAUUGAGAUUGGAGACGAAGAUAACAUUAAUGAGCAUGGAAUUUAUUUCAUAGCCACUUCGUUUACUCCAUGCUCAUAUGCAACAUCUUCCCAAUCUAUUGGUCUCUCCAACAUCACCACAUUUGAGAUCUCCAGCCCCCUCUUCCUUUCUAUUUAUAAAAACUUUAAAAGGGCGGUUGUCGAUGUUUAUGUCUAUAAUAAAUAUUGCAGAUCUCGUUGAGUUGAUCUUGAUAUAGGUCAGCGUUAGAAGGGAAACCGCUUCGCCGACAUAAAUUGAUGGUUUCCUAAGGACAAGCUUAGUGUCCUAAAAUAAGCGCUUAUCAGAUCGUAACAUAACCUUGCCAUAUUGCCUUGUAUAUUGAGCAUAUAAAGAUAAUUGUGAAAAUAUUCAUUUGGGUAUUCUUGUCACUAACCUUUCUAGGAUUGGAGCAAGAAGAUUCGAUGAAUGACAAGCACAAGGUAUGUCUAGCCAAUCAUCAUACAACAUUGAAUUAAAUCCAAACUUGAAUUUUGCAAAAUUCAAACUUGGGGGAGUACUUUACAUAAAAACAUCCUUUGCCAUGUUCCUAUGUUGGUUGUCCCUACCUUUGAGACAUGCUCAAUUUGUUAAAUACUAAUCACACUACUUCAUCUCCACUUGAUUAGAUCUCUAUAAAUGCCAUCACGCUACCUUUGUUUAUCCUAGUAAGCGUUAGUUUGGAAGUACUGCACAUACUUCUAUUGGCUUUUAAAUUAAGCAUGGUGCUUAGGUUAAAAAGCCUUCCUUAAUCUGAUUAGACAUGGAGUCUAGUUCGGUUAUUGAACUAAAAACUACUUGUGUAGACAUUGGUAUAUUUUGUCGGACUAACCCCUGUAGAAAUAACAUUCAAUAUCGAUUUGGGAAGUCCUGAGAUAAACUCACAUCGGAGAUGAAGAGAGAGACACAUGAAGUUUAACAAUUUGCACAAGAAGGACAUAGCUCAUUCAUCAUAGAGAGAUGAUCCAUGGAAGGAGACAAAGUACAUAAACAAGAUACACAACCAUUAAGAAAGGAAACCUUCCAGAAGGUGAUACUGUACCAUCAGUCUUCAAGUAAGGUAACAUCUUAAGGUACUUGACUAUCACUUUUAUAAGCUUCUCCUUGGUUCUGACGUUCACAUAAAUAAAGAGACACACAUGUAUGAUUUACAACUCUAGGUUAACCAACCCAAUCGAUUCAACAUGUUUAGUCCUUCCACCUUUACGAUCCCACACUCCUAAUCAGAUGAGCUAAAAUGUUGCACACUCAAUCUUGGAAGAUAUAUAAAAAACAUAAAUAUAGAUAGAUUAUCUUUCUAUUAGGUUGAGCGAUCUGAUCUGGCAAAUGUUUUAAAUGCUACACUCAUGAUCUUAGUAUCCAUCAACUUUGUCUUGCUCACUAUGCUUAAGGUUAGAGAAGAACAAAUACACUUUUGGUUCUGUUGGUGUUUUCCACCAACAGGGCCCAUGCACUUGAUCUCUGCCUUGUCUCUAUGAGCAGGUACACCUCGAGCAAAACAUGGAGGAGUUUUACAACUCCCAGACUCCACCAAGUGAAGGACCUGGAUCUACGAGCACAAACACACUGAGCAGGAUGCUGCCAACACCGCACUUCGAACUGUUGGGCAAACGAAGAACAUGGGUGACACCAUAUCAAGAGGUGCAGAUGUCAAGGUCCACACCUGAAUCACAUGACACACGUGAAGAAUGAACACGGUGAGAAGCCUUGUUCAGAAGACUUAAAACAUUGAACCCUCGCCGAAAGGUAAAAUCAGUAGUUAUCUAUAUUUAUCCUUUCUGCAUUCCCUUUUCCCAUAAAUUAUUUACUUUCCUUAAAUGGCUUGUUAGUUAAUCAUGCUAUCUUGAAAAGAAAUUAAAAAUGUUAAAAACAGUAAGCUCCAUGUGAGUAUGCUCGUGGCAUAAAACCCAUAAGUACAUUCACUGUGGUGGCGUAAAAAUAAAAAUAUUCCUGUCCUAUAAAAAUGAAAAUAUAAAAAUAAAUUUAUUAUCCAACCAAAGAGAGUACCAUUUAUUGAGGAGGCUCAGCAUGAUAAAGGCUAGAUAUUUAUGCUAACACUUUACUAGUUCCACAAAGCUUUGUUGUGUAUUUGAGCUCCACAAAAUUCAAGGAUCAAAGAAGACUAGCAGACGGAGGACGUCCUAAUCGCUGUCAGGGUGCUGCCGACAUUCAAAUACACCUCCACCACCAGCUAGCUACAUCAGAAGAAAUUACAUCAAAAUCCAGCUAGGGGGAAAGCACCCCUAUUUAUCGAGUUAAGUGUUUCUACUCACGUUUAUACUUUACUCAAAUAAUAAAAAGAUGCAUAAUCAUAAAAACCCAAAUAAAGAUUUUGUGCUUAUAUAUAUAUAUAUAUAUAUAUCUUUGCUUAGUUUGCUAAAUAAAUAAAUAAAUAGAGGUUGCUAUGAACCCUCAUGAUAAGCUCUCACAUGGAAAUGAUGAAUAGUUGCUCUGCCAUGACUAGUUCUCAAAAUUGAAUUUUCUCUCAAGUUUAGGCAUGAUUGUUAUGAAUUAAGAUUCGCUCUAAACCUGAACUUGUGGGAAGAGUACUUGAUCUAAAGUCUAAGUCGUUAACGGAUAUGAUAUAGGAAGGUUGAGUUGCUGUUUAUCUGUUCUAGAGAUGCUAGAAUUCUGGAGAAUUUUAUCUUUGAAAAUCUUUAAAAUGUUGCAUGAUGAGUUCCUGUAUGAUGAGAGACUAAAAUCCUACCACAGCCAUAUAUACAUGCUUAUUAGACUAUGAACCAUACAUAUACUUUUUACUACUUAUGAGCAUUGAGUGUAGUCAAGCUGUGUAGACCCUUUGGAGCUUGUCAUGUGGUUAAAAUCAAGAUUCACUUGCACGUUCACUCAUACAUGCUACUUCUACUCCGGAAGUACGCAUCCACAUACAUCCACUCCUUUCCAUCUCCAGAUUCAACCAAAACUAUUCUACUCCUAUCAAGGAGAGAAUAGCCAAAAGCAUUAUUCUAUCCCUGUUAUUCCCUGUAAAAUAAAUGCUCGAGAUAUUUUGGUUACUACCACUUGCUACAUUAUUUUAGGAGUUGAGUGCUCGAAAAAAAGAGAAAAAAACGAGGAAAUAAAAAGGGGCAAGUGCCCGGAAACUCAAAGAAAAGAAAAAGUGAGACGAGAGGUAAAAAUGGACAAGUGUCCGACAGUAGAAUUAGGGGUACAAGAUACCCACCUGAGAGAAAAGAAAAAAAAAUAUAGAGCAUCUCAUUCUCCUCAAAAAGCUUUAAAGUGCAAGAAAGGUAUGUAUCCCCUCAAAAGAGCAAAUGUAGAAUUAGACUUUCACCAUUGUUUUCACCAUCAUCACCAUACACCAUUCAUUCGCCAAACAUGCACAUCUUGAUUUGACUUAUUGACUUGUUUCUUCUGGAUCCAUGGUUUGACUAUGCAAUAAAUGUCUUGUAAGUAUGUAUUAGCUAUCUCCCACCUAUGAGCUCUAGAUAUCAAAACCUUAUUAGAGUAGGGUGAGAGAGAAGGCAAUGUCACUAUGCCUCAUACCAAAAAUACCACAUACUUCGAGAGAAGGCAUAUACCAUCAUUGCCUUGGUAAGGACCCAGAAAUACCACAAAAGAGAGAAUUGAGAGUCAUACAAGGAAUCUCUGAGUUUUAUUUGAAAAUCUACAAAAACUCCAGAGUAUAGUUGAUCAAAGAACAAGAGACAGGCGCUUGACUUGACCGUUCUAUCUUUUAACUGCUCAAGACGCAAGUGACGGUUGCAAGCCCCAUGGUGGAAGGUAAUAUGAGUAAGUUUAAAUCUUAACAGUUUACCCUAACCCAGAGAUGAGAUCUUGUUUGAACGCAUGGGUACCUUUUAAGACAUGAAACCACUGUAGAAACUCUUGAGUCCAUCCUUGCUCAGGGGCGAGCAAGAGGUAAGCUUGGGGGAGUUGUUGACGGUCCUUAAGUAUCAAAUUUGGUCAUCAAAUAAAUAAAGAAAAGUAUCCAAAUGCAACCAACACCCAGACUUAGGGUUUUAUCUAACAGAAUUCUACGAGUUUUGGUGUUUGUCUAUUUCUACAGGGGGUUAUCAUGAAAUAUGGAGGAAAGGCCCACAUGUCGGGUUUACAUAGUGAAAUUAAUGUGCCGCGCAAUUUUCAAUCAUCUAGAAGACUCCAGAAGCCACGGGAACGAACGGGAAGCCAAGCGGGCUCGGGGGCAGGGUGCCUGCCCAGCUAUAGGAACCAAUUAGGUUCCGUCUCGUGGAUUAUGCUCCACCGACCUAAAGGAUUAAAGAAAACCAUGCGAUUAAUGUCGGUUUGAUCUGACGGCCCAGAUUCACUUGAGGGGACUAUAUAAGCAGACCCCUGGCCCCUGGAGGAGGCACCCCCCUUGAUCCCUAUUCAUUAUUCAUAGAUAGAGCAAAAUCUAGGGUUUGGAGAUGAGAGCUCUACUCCCAUCUCCAAACUAGAGUAGACCUAGAUAGUAGCGAGAUGGAGAGUGAGGGAGGAUUGGAGGAGAGGCUAGCCUGUCGGAUCUUCCUCCGGUUGUACUUCGCCAUGAUCAAGCUCUAAUCAAGCUUGCUCAUGGGAUGACUCUGGUAAUCUACUUCUAUUUCAUUAUGCAAUUACUAUCCAUGUAUGUUUUGGUUCACAACUCUUUAGAGUACUUUAAUCUAUAGGACGCUAUAGGUGAGAGUUGUAGUAUAGGUGCAAUUACUAUCCAUGUAUGUUCUGGUUCACAACUCUUUAGAUUACUUGUGGAUAUCACCUGUUAGCCAGAUCGUGUGGUAGGCCGCGUAUGUGACAGCUACGUUGGUCCCGUGUAGUCCACCUCCCGUUAGCAGGACUGGUAGGGUUUAUCGGCCUAUGGAUAAACAUCCUUUGUGGUGUAUUCUUAUCACGUGGUUCAUCCCAGACAUAGACAUACCUCUUUGAAGUAGAGAAACCAUAGUUAUUCUCUCUAUUCUCCUACCAUCGCCCAUAUACUAGAUUGCUCUACACUCUAUUCCCAUAUUAUCACCCAUUGUUAUCUUACCUUUAAUAUUGUUCUUAUUCAAUUCUACCCUCUUUCCUAUUUACACCUACCUAUCUAUCUAGGUUAAGUUAGAGCGUAGAUCAGUCUCCCGUUUCCCUGUGGAUACGAUAAAACCUUUAACCGGGUAAAAGCUACAACUGUAUCCGUGCGCUUGUGGAUUUUUCUGUGUGCGUAUAAAUACCAUAGUACACUCUAGUGCCAUGCUGGGGAUGACAACCUAGUAUUCAAGUGGUGUUAGCUAGUGUCAACACAUGUGGACUUCUCUGGUUCCAAUAUAGAUGAUUGCUUUAACGGUGCUAAGGAACGGUCUCCCAAGGAUGAUGGGUGGAUCGUACUCGUCUUCACCCAUGUCAAUAACCUGAAAAUCUGUAUGGACAAAAUGAUCGUCUAUUUUGAUAGGGACAUCAGUUACUAUACCUUCAACCUUUUGGAAUGUCUGAUCUGCCAUCUGGAGCUGAAUGUAUGUCAGUUUUAGGGGCAUGGUUCCGAACAGGAGCUCAUAGGUGAUUGCGGCCAUUAUGUUGACACCCGACCCGGUGUCGCAAAGCGUCUUCUGGAAGUUGUAUCCAUUAAUGGAGCACUGGAUGCUUGGCAUACCUGGGUCGUCCUUCUUGGUCACGAACGAUGACUUGAGUCAACGAUCUUGACCUCAGUGAACUGUAGUGACCAUCUUAGCUGACUCGGUCCAGACUUGCUUGUUCCUCUUCCUCCUGUUGGUCCUCUUCCUUGGUUCAUGUCGGGAUUGCUCUAGGAUUUGUGCAGUCUUGUGCUUGAAGAAAAACAUCUCCUUCCUCCCCCUGAUGUAGAAACUGAUCUUGGCAGCACUAGCGUAGAUGGCAGCUCCCGAGGUGUUCAGGAAUGGCCUCCCUAGGAAGACGGGUGCCCUCUCAUCAGUACCGGUUUCUAUCACCAUGAAGUGUGUUGGGGCAUACAAGGUACCAACUCAGACGCAGAGGUUCUUCAAUAUUCCCCUUGGGAAACUCAGUGUCCGAUAUGCAAGCUGUAAACACAUGGUUGUUUCUAAUAAACGACGCAUAAAGAAUUUUUCAUAGAGUACCCUGGGCAUAAUGUUGACGCUGGAGCCAAAGUCACAGAGUGCUUCUGGGAAGUCCACCAUACCGAUGGAGAUCAGAAUGACGGGGCGUCCUGGAACGCCCCUCUUGACCGGCAAAAGGUCAGUAGUUACUUCCACAAUGGGGUUACUCUAGUAGUUACCUGCAUCAAACAUGUCUACAAGAUUUGCAGAUUCUAAUCCUUCCGGUUGUGACGGUAUACCGAGGUUAGUAGCAGGAACAGCUGCAGCUAUUUGAUUUAACUGAGAUUCAAUCAUUUUAUUAAAGCUAAUUUGAUUCUUGAUGGUAGAAGAGAAAUUAUCCAUUCUAUUAUUUAUAUUUUCUAACAUUUUAUCAUUAGAUGCCAAUUGCUUAGAUAGGUUAUCCAUUAGCUUUCCUUGAUUAGACACUAACUCUCUCAGAGGUGGAAAAUUAUUAUUAUUAUUGUAAGAAUUAUUACCUUGAUAAUUACUUGAUUAGUUAGGCCUCUGUUGAUUCCAACCUUGAUUUUGUUGAGGACGGUUGUAGUAGUAGUAGUAGUUGUUGUUGUUGAUGUAGUUCACAUCCUCAAGCAUCCCAGGGCAGUGAUUGCCUGAGUGUCCAAUAUAUCCACACUCCUCACAAGUUAUGUGAGAGUCUUUGACGUGCAUGACUUCUUUCUUAUCUCCAGCUCUAUCAUCGAGAUUCUUCAUGAGUAGGUCUAGCUUGACAGACAGCAUGUCUACUUCCUUGAGCUGGUGCAUACCUCCACCCUUCUUGCGUGUCUGGGUCCUCUCUUCGUUCUAGCCUUGGUUGGACGCCAUCUUCUCCGCAAGAGCUGUGGCUUGUGGUAUGGUGAGUGACAGGAAUGCUCCUCUAGCUGCAGCAUCCAUGGUUUUACGGGCGCUAUUCCAAGCCCAUGAUAAAAUGUCUGGAUCAGCAGCCAGCUCUCCAUUCCAUGAUGGGGACAUUCUAGGAUGUAGUCUUGGAAGCGCUCCCAUGAUUCUGGAACGGAUUCAUCAUGUUGUUGCUGAAAACUUGUAAUUUUCCCACAGAGGGCAUUGGUCUUGCCCAUGAGAACGAACUUAGCAAGAAAGUUCGUGGAGCAGAGUGCCCACAUAGUGUUCUUCUCCUUUGUAGCGUAGAACCACUGCUUCACUCUCCCCAACAAUGAGAAUGGGAAGAGGCGAAGUAGUAUAGGAUCUCUAGGGACAUCUGACAUGGUGAAUGUGCUGCAAAUCUCCAAGAAGUGUUGGAGAUGAGCACUAGCGUCUUCGUGCGCCUUCCCACAGAACAGGUUGGCUUGCACCAUGUUGAUCAGACCAGGCUUGAGCUCAAAGUUGCGUUUGAUCUCUACAGUAGGUUCCGUGCGGAUGUUGUCCAUAGUGGGAGCUGAGAACUCGUGGAUCGACUUGCUCGCCAUGGCUUCGAACUCGGUCGACAAGUUCUGGAUGAAACUUCGGCGGUCUUCUGGUUUGGACGAAGCUUUGCGCUGAAGUGUUGACGAUCUGAGCUUGGCUCUGGUUUUUCUGAAUAAUACUUCGGGGUGGUCAACAAAAUUUUCUGGAAGAUGUCUUCUAUUCAUACAUCACCCUGCAUAAAAUAAUCAAAAUAGAAAAAUACAGGGGUAAAGCUGUAUGAGAGAAUUGAUAAUCUCAAUCAUAUUAGUGAUGCGAACGAUGACCCAAAAUUCCGUAUUCAUUCCUUAUUAGUAAUCAACCUUUCCCGGCAACGGCGCCAAAAAUGCUUGUUGGGCAUUCUUAACUUCAUUACCAAAAGUAGACUUAGUUUUCUAAUUCUGAUAAUGGUGCCAAAAAUACCGAAUCUAUCCCUCAUGCCACUUAAGCCAAGUUGUCAUCCCCAGCAUGACAUGAGAGACGCGGUAUUGAAAUAUGCAAUUGCUCUUCUAAAUGAAUAAUAAAUGAGAUCUGCAAGCACACAGAUUAUUACCGAUGUAGUUUUUUAACCGGGAAGUAUUGCAGAUAUCGUUAUUUAUAUUUUUACCACUGGGAAGGGAUUGCUAAUCAUCAAUGUUGAUUAUGGAAUGAAAUAAGGAAUUGAGUAUCUAUCAUUGCAUGUGUAAUAGAGAACAUUUGUCUAUCUCUUUCAUACAGGGAUAAAUGUCACAUAAAAUAUAGAUAAAGUAUGAAUGGUGACAAAGAUAAUUAAUCUGAUCAGCAUAACUAGCCACAUAUAAAUAUAUGUUUUCUUUUUAUUUAUUUAUUUAUUUUGAAUGAAUUCUUUCUAUUUGUGUUUCGAAUAAAAGGUGCAUUUGUUAUAUUUAUGAGUAGUCCAUAUUGCCCCUAUGAUCUUUUCUUCAUUUUUGAAUCUUUGUGAUCAUGGGUAUCAAUCACUCAUAAAUGCAUGAUAGUGUGAUAGCUUUCAGAAAGUUUUCAAAAUUCAAAACUCUAUCCCACACACUAUCACUCUGAUUCCACUGUGCAUCAUGAUUGAUCGUAACCAGGAUCGCAAAAUACUCGGAGAGGGAAGGAAAUACCCGAAAGACUGAGGCCGACUGGUGGACCUAGUGGUGCGGGCGCACCCCCAGGUCUGCCAAUCGGCCCCAAUCUUUUUCUCUUCCUCUUCUGCACUGAUUAGCAUCACGUCCAUGGUUACGAUCAAGUUGUUUCCAGAUCAGAGACUAUGUUAGCAGCUAUAAAAUCCUCCAUAGGCCUCUUCUCUUCUCACACCAACCAUUUCUCAUCUCCCGCUUGUGAAGAUUGCUAAGCUCUCCCAUUCUUCAGUAGUGACCAUGUCUAGCUAUGUGUUGGGCAUUCUUAACGUCAUUACCAAAAGUAGACUUAGUUUUCUAAUUCUAAUAACGGCGCCAAAAAUACCGAACAUAUCCCUCAUGCCACUUAAGCCAAGUUGUCACCCCAGCAUCACAUGAGAGACGUGGUAUUGAAAUAUGCAAUUGCUCUUCUGAAUGAAUAAUAAAUGAGAUUUGCAAGCGCACAGAAUAAUUCCAAUGUAGCAUUUUAACCAGGAAGUAUUCCAGAUAGGCUUUGAAGAUUUUGGUGGUUCGAGAUGUGUGCCCAUAGGUCUAUGAAAUUCAUAGAUAGACAUGUUUGAAUUCAUAAUAGACCAGAGAUCAAGGAUUAGAUAAGAAGAAAGAAUAGCAGAGAUGAGGCAAAGGAUAAAAGGAAAAUAUUUUUUUUUGUUAUAUAUAUAUAUAUAUUUUAUAAAAUGAUUAAACUAGUUCGUAGUCAACUCAGCAACCGUUUCCCCGACAACGGCGCCAAAAAUGCUUGUUGACACUUGCUAACACCACUUGAAUACUAGGUUGUCAUCCCCAGCAUGACACUAGAGUGUACUAUGGUAUUUAUACGCACACAGAUAAUCCGCAAGCGCACGGAUACCGUUGAAGCUUUUACCCUGUUAAAGGUUUUAUCGUAUCCACAGGGAAACGGGAGAACCAACUACGCUCUAACUUAACCAAGAUAGAUAGAUAGGUGUAAAUAGGAAAGAUGAUAGAAUCGAAUAAGAACAAUAUUAAAGGUAAGAUAACAGUGAGUGAUAAUAUGGGAAUAGAGAAUAGAGCAAUUCUAGUAUAUGGGCGAUGGUAGCAGAAUAGAGAGGAUAACUAUGGUUUCUCUUCUUCAAAGGGGUAUGUCUAUGUCUGGGACGAACCACGUGAUAAGUGUACACCACAAAGGAUGCUUAUCCAGAGGCCGAUAAACCCUACCCGUCCUGCUAACGAGAGGUGGACUACAGGAGACCAACGUAACUGUCACCUACGCGGCCUACCAGACGAUCCAGCUAGUCAGGGGAUAUCCACAAGUAAUCUAGGUCUAAGCACCACGCUUACACCUAUACUACAACUCUAACCUAUAGGGUCCUAUAGAUUAGAAGUACUCAAAAGAGUUGUGAACCAGAACAUACAUGAUUAGUAAUUGCAUAAUGAAUUAGAAGUAGAUUACCAGAGUCAUCCCAUGAGCAAGCUUGAUUAGAGCUUGAUCAUGGCGAAGUACAACCGGAGGAAGAACCGACAGGCCGGCCUCUCCUCUAAUCCUCCUUCGCUCUCCAUCUCGCUACUAUCUAGAUCUACUCUAGUUUAGAGAAGAGAGGAGAGCUCUCAUCUCUAAACCCUAGCUUUUGCUCUGUCUAUGAAUAAUGAAUAAUGAUCAAGGGGGUUGCCUCCUCCAGGGGCCAGGGGGUCUGGUUAUAUAGUCCCCUCAAGUGAUUCUGGGCCGUCAGAUCAAACCGACAUUGAUUGAACGGUUAUUCUUGAUCCUUUAGGUCGGUGGAGCAUAAUCCGCGAGAUUGAGCGUGAUUGGCCGAAAAAGGUGGGCGGGCGCCCUAAGGACUUGGGCGGGCGCCCUGUCCCGGACUCCGUUCGGUCUCCGCUUCCUUCCCGUGGCUUCUGGAGUCUUCUAGAUGUAAGAUAAUUGUGCGGCACGUUGAUAUCUCUAUGUAAUCCCGACGUGUGGGCCUUUCUUCCUUAUUUCCUGAUAACCCCCCGCAGAAAUAGAAAAACACCAAAACUCGUGGAAUUCUGUCAGAUAAAACCCUAAGUCUUGAUGUUGAUUUCAUUUGGAUCCUUUUCUUUGUUUAUUUGAUAGUUAAAUUUGAUAUUUAAGGACCGUCAACAAAAAGAUUCUUACUUCAUGUGCAAUUAGGAGAAUUACCCAUGAGGUUACAAAGAAGAUAACCUUUGAAGAAUAGGUCACUGACAUAAACAUUAACAGACUGCAAGAGAUGGUAGACAAGUGACACUAUUUAACUAUUCCUGCAACGAUGAUGGUCAUUUAAUGAGCAACAUUGGUCAUCCAUGCUGAAUCAAAGGACACACGACACUUAAUGUUGGACAAGUUAUCUGUUGAACAAGCAUCGAUCAUCACCAUUGUGCUUAUGAUCUAGUUUUCCUAAGUCUUGAUCUUUAUGUGCAUCAUGGUCAUACAUCUACAGUCAACCAUCUUUAGCAUGAAUCCUUAUCCCCUGGUUUUGAAGGUGACCAAUUGUUAAGCGUCAGCCACAAUUGUUGUGGUUAAGGUGGAGCUUUGGAAAUUUUAGUGCUGAGAGCCAAUUGAUUGGUUGCUAGUAACAAGGCUAAUCUCAAGCAAGGAAACGAUGGAUUGAUAGCCAUGAAGGAUAUAUUUCAUCCACUAGUGAAUCAUACUUUGGAGUUGAGAGAUGUCUUGUCAGUCCGGAAUGCUACAGUUUCAGCAUAGAACAAGUUUAGUAUGUAGAUAUUCUGCUUAUGCAAAGGGUGCCUAUUGGAGCUAAAUGGUUGGUUAGAGGUUGGAAGACUCAUGGAUCUGUAUUUCUACCAAAGUUCAUGGAAAUGUGAGUGGUAAUUGGUGAAAUAUGAACUAAAACCCAAAAUUGGUAGAACUUUGCAAUCUUCCUUUUGAUAUCGAUCAUUCUUCGUAUAUAAAGUAGUGUUGAUUUUGGUGCCAUGGAUCACAGUAUGGGCAAUGUCUUACUGCACAGAUAAUGCUUAUAUGCUGAAAUAAAAUUCUUUGUACCCAUUUGUGCUAGUGCAAAUCAAAAAUGUUUUGAAAGGUGUCAGUCAAUAGAUUUCCAAUGUUAGAGCUACCGACUAAUCUUAAAAAGGAAACCUCAAAAGCAAAAGUAGUUUCACUAGAUUGGUUUUGCUAUGGCACAAGUCAACCUAACUCUUAUGCAACUGCAUCAUGAAGAAAGAUCAUGCUUAACCUACUGGUGGUACGCUAUUUCUUUAGUUGGUUGAACACUUGCAACUAUUGGAGACAUAUAGGCCCCACUAUCAUCCUUCGUCAGUAGUGGUUAUCCAAUUUUUACAUGCCUUGGUUACCUUCUAUGUAUUGCCCAAGAAGUUACAUCUGAUCCGACCUAGGUAAUUGUUGUUGUUUGGAUACAAUAAUCCCUUUAAAGUAAAUGAUCAUGGAAGGCAUGAAACCAACAGAGUCCGCUAUCACAUUCACCGUUCUCUUAACCAGGUGGUAAGUACAAUGUUGUCAUCAGAGAAAGAGAACUGCAUGCGUGGAAAGUUGUAAUCCAACCAUGUUGGUAGAGGACUCCUUUUCAAAUCUUGUGAAUGAGUCUGGAGUCACUAUAAUGAGCAACCCUUAGAAGCUUGUGACAUAGUGCAAAGUUCAUAUGGAUUGCAUUAGUUUCACUAAAGAAGCUAAUGGUACAAGUAGCUCCUUAUGCUCUAAACCACUGUUUAUACACCAGGAACAAAGUACAUGGAACAAUUUGUCUUGGAUUCCUCCCAAAGUAACAAUGCUUCACUAAAGUCAAACAAAAAGGGAGAUUCUCCAAAUAAAGGUUUACUAUGAAGAGCAAGUAUCAUAAAAUGUUUGGACCAAGUUUGCUUCUCUAAUGUUCCAAGCAAAGUAGCCCACUGUUAUCGCUGAUGUUGGGAGAUGGAUGACAUUGUUUUCUUCCCUUGAAAGUCUUUAGCACCGAAUCUCGGGACGAGAUUCUUUUAAGGGGGGAAGGCUGUAACACCGCUGGUGUUCGUCACUUGCUAAGUACUAGGUUCGAGCUCAAACAUGACAAGCUCAAUGGUAACAAAGAGGUCACAGCCAACUUAUGAAAGUAAGCCCUAACUUGGACUUGGAUGAUGCACCUUUACUUACAUAUAGGCCCAUGUUAAAAGGUAUGCUUGGAUAAUGCUAGUGGAACUAUUUUCAUGUGUCUCAUAUCCUUCCCAAUCUAUGUUGGUCCCUGGAAAAGUUUGGUGAAGUUUGGAAUCAAGAAGUCACAUGAAAUGAUAAGUUAUAUCCUUGUUGGAAUGGCUCUAUUAAGGAAAUAGAAUUAUGGGUCAUGAACCAAAACUUCCAAACUUGCUCAUAUGACUCUAGAUGAAUUAUACAACAAAAGUCAUGAAGGGUUCAUGUUGAGCUUAUGUCAAGAAAAUGCUUCAAUUGGCCUAAAACCCUAUUUUUGGAGCUUUAUCGGGUUACUACUUUGACCAAAGUGAAAGAUUGACUUCUGUUGCAGUUAUGAGGUUUGACCCUAAAUGAAAAUUGUAGUUUUGCUUCUGUAGAAGAAACUUUAUUCAAGGGUCAAGAACCAAGUCAGCCUGCAAAUAAUUCAAACAGAGGCUCCAAGUUCGAAUCAGCUGCUGCUUUUUAUCCCUGAGAAAUAAUUCUAAGUCCCGGGAAAGUGACAGCAGCAAGUUAGCUUCUUUGUGACAUUUUAUUAUCCAAAUUCAUAUGGUAACUCAAUUAGAUUCCUUAAUAUGAGCUGGAGUACUCUUCUUGUUGAAAGCAUUGGAUCAAGUAUCAUCAAAUUUGGAGUUCAUUUGGAUACCUAAAAGUAGCUCCCAAAACAGCAAAAAGUUAUUUUAUCGCUAAACGGACAUCGACCCGUUGGCAUGCCGUGUUCUCGAGUUUUUGUUAAGCAACAAAAGUUGGUCCAAGAAUAAAAGUGGUGGACACUUACUUGGAGAGGGUCAUGUAAAAAGUUGCAUCAUGUUUGACAUGGUUUGGACCAUCAAUUCUUGGUUUUGCUAAUCACCGUCAAUACGUUGACACUCGUGACUUGGCAUCUAAUUAUCUUCUAAUCUGUUGGUCUAAUGACUGAGCAUCCUUAAUCAAAGUUGUAGUGCACAGCGAGAUGAGCAAACUUCAUUUUUGGCCAAGGUCCAAUUCGGCCCAGAAGUGGACCAAACCGGCGUCCCACCUUCCCUACUUCGCUGCACGCCACGUGCUCGGCGAAAUGCGUCAAAGGGAAAUGCGUGUCCUGGACGUGUGCACCAUGCACAGCGCCCCCACCUCCAUUGAUGAACCCCUGCUGCCCCUCUCGCGGUAUGUGAAGCCAGAGAGCGCUCUCCACCCUUCUGUUGUGGACGCCAAGCUCCCUCAUCCGCUCCCUUGCCUCUCUCCUCGCUCUAGUCCCGCUGUCUGCCGUGGACAGGAAGCGGAGCUUCAAGGCCAGGCCGUCUGAGAGCGGCUCGGGCCAAGCUGAGUGGUGUGGAGGAUACGGGCAAGCCUCCUAGUGCUUCCCCACCCCUCCAUCGUCGCCGACGAGGCCUCAGCCGGCCGGAGCAGAAACCUCCGGCGAGGUCUUUCCCGGCGACCAGGGACCUCUGGUUAGAAUAUGAAACAACACAGGGUUCCAGAUGCGAACCACAAACUCUAUGAAUAGUGCGUCUGGACUGCGGCUUGAUUUGUGGAAAACUCAGGGUUCCCGAGGCAAAAGUGUUUUUCUUUUUCUUUUGUUUUAGCAGAUUUCUGGGUGAACUUUGGAAAUGCAUAGUAAUUCAUAGAAAAGUCGUAAAAUAGCAAAUGUCGACUUUUUGAAUCCUUACGAAAUUCUCUAUGCAGUAGAUCUAUAAUAUGGCAUGGUUAAGUUCGAAGUUUUAGUCUUAAAAAUAGAUUUAUGCAGUUAGGUUUUAAUUGCUUGUUAUACUUGUCGUUUUCAUAACUGCUGUAGUAUUGCUCCAAUAAAUGCGAAAAUAUUGUGACAUGCUUUCCAUGUGAUGUUUGAUGUCUGGUAGAAGUUUCAUGAAUUUAGGAUUGAUAGAUUAAGAGUUAUAAAAAUAACAAAUGCCCUUUGUUGCUUUGCUCCUAUUCUGAGUGGAUCUGCAUGUUUGUAUUGUUUGGUUCAGUUAAGUUGUGAAUCUUGCCUGCAUGAAAAUAUAUAAGUUUUAGUACUUUUCAUGAACUUUCCAAAAAGAUAAAUAUCACAAUUUUUGGUUAAGCACAUGUUUAGUUAUAGUGGUUUAAAUUACUGUUCCAGUUUCUGUAUAAACCCAGACAGGAUUGCAUUGUUUGUAAUGUAAGACCUUGUUAGUUGUAGAUUUAGCUCUAGAUGUUUAUAAAAAAGUUGUUCACAAUUUCGUAAGCUUUCUAGAAAGUACACAAUUAUAAAUUAUGGACAUGUGAACCUCAAGUUAGAGCUGUUUAAUGUAGCAUGACAGAUUCUGUCCAUGUUUUGGACAGAGAUGUCUUUAAGAUGUUAAUUGACCUUGUUAACUGUGGAUUCAUAUUUAGAUGAUAAUAAGAAAGUUGUAGGUAACUUUAUAAGCUUUCCACAAAUAUAAGAAUUAUGUUUACUGGAGGUCUACAACUCCAGUUAUGCUGCUUCGAAUUACCUAUUAGUUUUCUGUUUGUAAUUGUACCUCUACUGUUUGGACAGCAUGAGCAGUUUUAUUUAUGCAAUUAAUUCCAUGAUAUAAAUGAUGUUUUCUGUUAAACUUUUAUAUAGAAAAGAUGUAGAUAACUUACAAAUAUAUCUUGUGGUAAAGUUUCAUAUCAUUCAGCUAAGUGGUUUAUGAGUUACAGUAGUAUGAAGUUCAUCCUUUGAAAUGCUUGUUCUCUGGAAGUUCCUGGACCAGAUUAUAUGGUCAUGCAUGUUUGACUUGGUUAACUUGUUAAUCAUGCUAAUAUGAUUAAAGAUUAAUUGCAGAUAAUUUGAUAAUAUUUCCAGAAUGUCCUAUUGCAUAGUUUUUGGAGUUGUGUAACUCCAGUUAUGAUUUAUUUACUGAGUUGCUGCAUAUAUGUCCAGAAUUGCUGAAAAUGCAUGAAUGCUUGAUUGCUUUACUUGGUGUGUGCUAACUAUGAUACAUGUCUUUAGCGGUGAUUAAGUAAUACACUUGUAAACUUGUUAAACUUGUGUUGUGAUUGAUAUGUUUUCUAAAUAUUUGGUUGUGUGAUGUUAGCUAAAUAACUUUAGAUGCCCGUGUCUUGCAUACUUUUAUGUGAUGCAUCUUGUGUUACUAUUCUUUGUAUUCAUGCACUUGCAUCUUCCAUCUCAUCUAGGUGCGCUAGAUGAAUCACGUGAAGGUCUUGGUAUGGGAACAAACCCGAAGAUGGUGUUGGGUGGACCCAUCCCGAAGGUGGAAGGACUAAGCAAGUGUUGCGACCUAAGAUGUCAUCAAGAUGGAGCAACUAACUAAACUAACUCCGUGUUGAUCCCAGGCAAGCCCCGGAGCAUUAUAAGUCUCCCACUACUUUUGAAUGCAAUUGAGAAUAUAUGUUAUAUAUGUAUUGUUGCAUUAAGUAUAGGAGUUGGGUGAACCCCUUGCUGCAUAUAUCACUCCUUGUCCAGCAAAUAUACCUAUAACCCUAUGUAGAUUCGGGAUCGAAUCCAAAUGCUUAGUCAUGCUUAGACCGGUAGAAAGCCAGGUGAUGUCCUGUCACCUGAGCGAGAUAGGUGGAUACCUGAAAAGGUUGGCUAUAUAUGCUAUCAUGGAAAUAACCAAUUGAUGAGGAUGAAUAAUUGGAGACUGGGCGGGACGAUGAUAGAGAAGUAACAAGACAUGGAGGUCUUGGGUGCCUAUCUAUCCCCGCCUGUGUCGAUUAAGGACCGAUCGUUGACGGCCCUCUUGUCAUAUUGAACGCAUGCCGCACACUUAGCUGGAAGGAUAAGUCGUUCCGACCGUGAAGCCUGAACACUAUCCGGGCCGGGAAUUGGCCCGAUGUAUGCGCUGUAUUGGUGAUGGUUGAGGAGAACGACGAGGGCGCGACGCGCAACCUUUGUAUACCUUGAAUACCUCGGUCGCCGGAACGGUCCUCGGGUACUGGCGGUACCUGUCGAACCCGCGAAUUUGUCCUGGAUAGUGUAAUACGGUGACCUGUAGCUCACUUGAUCAGUGAGUGUGGUUUGUGUGGGGAAUAAACUCGCCAGCUGGUUAGAAAUCGAUUCGAAUCGCCAUCGCUCCUGGACAAUGAGCACUUGACUUGAGCUUCAUCAUCGUAGUAAUGUUUAUGGAGCACGUGGAUGGUUAUGGUAUAAUGAUGAUGUUGGAAAUGCCACAUCGAAUAUGGGUACUACUGUUGUAUCUUAAUCAAGUGAUUGCUCUAGUACAUGUGCUAAUAUAGAUGACAGGUAAUGAUUAUUAACUUGAGCUAAAUACCUGAAAAGUUACUUACCUGUAACCUAAGCUUUUUAUGCAAAAAGUGUUGUCAAGCUAGCCCCACCAAUAAAGCCUUGCAUACUCCUUGGUGUCAUCUUAUUUCUGGUUUAUGACGGGUAAGUCUAGCUGAGUACCUUCUCGUACUCAGGCUUUAUUCCCACUUGUUGCAGGUUGUGAUGUAUCAUGGCUACUACAAAAUUUGGAUGACCCCUACCAUAUUAGAGGAGUAAGAUCAUGGGCAUGAUCCUUCUUAGUUACCUCAUCUGUGUUGCUUUUGUUGGAGUUGACCUGGAUACUGGCAUGUAUUUGAAAUGUGGGCAAUAUUAGUUUUAAAUUACUUUGCUUCCGCAACUUUUCAACUCAACUUGUAAUAACUAUAUUGAACUCCGAUGUAUGUCGAACUAUUUGUGAAAUGGAUGUAACAUAUGACUUGUUAUGUUGAAUCACUACGAUCUUGGCUUGUAAGAUGGUUGGUUUGAAAUCCCUCAUGAUUUCAUGGACUACCGGGUUUAUGAGAGUUCGAUUAUGUUAAAGCAACUGCUUUGGCGGGAGUUUUUCAUAGUUGAUCUCUUAUAGAUUGGGUGGUUCUAUUACAAACUCCUUCUAGUUCUAAUCCUAUGUAGCUAUGCUAAACUACAGAUCUAGUUGAUGUGGUGGCUCUAGGGCUUGAUCAAAGACUUCUUCUCCCGAGAUGAAAGAAUGAAUGAGGGUUUCAGAGGUGUCUCCUCCAGGGGCCAGGGGGGCCUGCUUAUAUAGUCCCUCCAAAUGAAUAUGGGCCGUCGGAUCAAACCGACUUUAAUCGCACGGUCUUCCUUAAUCCUCUAGGUCGGUCUAGCAUUAUCCACGAGGCGGAGCCUGAUUGGCCUAGGCAGCAGGGCGGGCGCCUAAGGGGGGAGGGCGGGCACCCUAUCCCUGGGCCUGCUUGGCCUCCCGCUCGUUCCCGUGGCUUCUGGACUCUUCUAGGUUAGGGAAAAUUGCGCGGCACGUAAUUAUCUCUAUGUAAACCCGACGUGUGGGCCUUUCCUCCAUAUUUCCUGAUAACCCCCUGUAGAAAUAGACAAACACCAAAACUCAUGGAAUUCUGUCAGAUAAAACCCUAACUCUGGUUGUCGGUUGCAUUUGGGUCCUUUUCUCUAUUUAUUUGUUGAUUAUAUUUAAUACUUAAGGACCAUCAACAAACUCCCCCAAGAUUACCUCUUGCUCGUCCCUGAGCAAGGAUAAUCUCAGUGAUGGAUUAGAAGUUGCUAUAAUGCCUUUGAGUCUUGACGGUACACAUGCUUUCAAAUAAGGUCUCAUCUCUGAGUUAGUGUAAACAGUCAAGACUUAAAACUUACUCAUUUUACCUUUCACCAUGGGACUUGUAACCAUCACUUCUGUCUUGAGCAGUAAAAAGAUAGAACGGUCUAGUCAAGCGCCAUGUCUUUUAUUCUUGAUCAGCAAUAGCUCUGGAGUUUUUGCAGAUUUUGAAAUAAAACUCAGAGAUUCCUUGUAUGACUCUCUCAGAUCUCUCUUUUGUGGUAUUUCUAGAUCCUUGCCAAGGAAGUGAUGGUAUAUGCCUUCUCUCAAAGUAUGUAGUAUUUGUGGUAUGAAGCAUAGUGACCUUGCCUUCACUCUCACCCUACUUUAAUAAGGCUUUUGAUAUCUGGAGCUCAUAGGUGGGAGAUAGAGUAUACAUACUUACAAGACAUUUAUUGCAUAGUCAAACCAUGGAUCUAGAGGAACAAGUCAAUAAGUAAAAUCAAGAUGUGCAUGUGUGGCGAAUGAAUGGUGUAUGUUGAUGAUGGUGAUAACAAUGGUGAAAGUCUAAUUCUACUUUUUGCUCUUUUGAGGGGAUACAUACCGUUCUUGCUCUUUUGAAACUUUUUGAGGAGAAUGAGAUGCUCUACAUUUUCUUUUUCUUUCCUCUCAGUUGGGUAUCUUGUACUCCUAAUUCUACGGUCGGACACUUGUCCAUUUUUACCUCUCGUCUCACUUUUUCUUUUCCUUUGAGGUUCCGGGCACUUGCCCCUUUUUAUUUCCUCAUAUCCUUUCUUUUUUUUCUUUUUUUAGAGCACUCAUCUCCUAAAAUAAUAUAGCAAGUGGUGGUAGCCAAAAUAACUCGAGCAUUUAUUUCAUAGGGAAAAAUAGAAAUAGGAGAAUGUUUUUGGCUAUUCUCUCCCGGAUUAGGAGUCGAAUACUUUUGGGUGGCUCUGGAGAUGGAAAUGAGUGGAUAUAUAUGAAUGCGUACUUCUAGAGUAGAAGCAACAUGUGUGAGUGAACGUGCAAGUGAAUCUUGAUUUUAACUGCAUGACAAGCUCCUAAGGGUCUACACAGCUUGACCACACUCAAUGCUCAUAAGCAGUAAAAAGUAAAUGUGUUGGCUCAAAGUCUAGCAAGCAUGUAUGUAUGGCUGUGGUAGGAAUUCAAACUCUCAUCAUACAGGAACUCAUCAUGUGAUAUAUUAAAGAUUUUCAAAGAUAAAAUUCUCUAGAUUUCUAGCAUCUCAAGGAAUAGAUAAACAACAUCUCAACCUUCCAUAUCAUAUCUGUUAACAACUUAGACUUCAGAUCAAGUUCUCUUCGCACAAGUUCAGGUUUUUAGAGAAAGCUUUAAAUUAUAAUAGUUAUGUCUAAACUAGAGAGAGAACUUCAAAAUUGAAAAUUAGGCAGAGCAACUAUUCAUCAUAUCCAUGCUAGAGUUUUAUUAAGAUUUAGUUUACAUAGCCACUUUAUUUAUUUAUUAAGCACACUAAGCAAAAGAUAUAUAUAUAAGCACAAAAUCUUUAUUUGGUUUUUCAUGGUUAUGUAUAUUUUUUAUUUUAAUAUAGUAUAAGUAUAAAUGUAGAUAGAAAUACAUAGCGGGGUUAAUGGGGGUGCUCUCCCCCAAGCUAGAUUUUGACGUAAUUUCUUCUGAUGUAGCUAGCAGGUGGUGGAGGUGUAUUUGAAAGUCGGCAGCACCUGAGAGCAAUUUGAAUGUCCUCCGUCUGCUAGUCUUCUUGAUCCUUGAAUUCUGUGGAGCUCAAAUAGACAACAAAGCUUUGUGGAACUAAUUAGGUGUUAGCAUAAAUAUAUAGCCUUUAUCAUGUUGAGCCUCCUCAAUAAAUGCUACUUUCUUUGGUAGGAUCACAAUUUUAUUUUUAUAUUUACAUUUUUAUAGAGCAGAAGAAUAUUUUUAUUAUUUGUUAUGCCACCACAGUGAAUGUACUUAUGGGUUUUAUGCCACUUGUAUACUCACAAGGGGCUUACUGGUUUUAACAUUUUUAUUUUUCUUUUCAAGAUGAUAUGAACCAAAUUAACUGAACUAGCUAUUUUUAAUAAAAAGUAAAUGAUUUAAAAGGAAAGGUAUAACUACCAAGUUUAUCUCUUGGGAAGGCGUUCGGUGUUUUUAAGUCCUCUGAACGGGACUCUCUGUUUUCUCAGUUGUCCGGGGAUUCGCUGGAUGGCGUAGUCAGUAGUUCCGGCGGUGCCACCUCUUUGUGUAUAACUAUCUUCUCUCUCCACACCUAACUCGGUGCUACGGUCUUCUCAGGAUAGUUCUGUUCAAGCUAUAUGUCUUAAGACCUUACCACUUCUCCUUCGUAGUCUGCCCAUCCAUCCUUGCUGAUUUGCCUCCUCUGGUUGCGAUUGCGUCGUCUUCCUCUUGUCCUGACUUGCUUAGAGUCUUCAACUAUAUAGUUAGGGUCAGUAAAAUAGCGGCGUACCUUCCCAGAGGGGAAGUGCAUGUGGACUUCUCCGGUUCCAAUGUAGAUGAUUGUUUUAACGGUGCUAAGGAACGGUCUCCCAAGGAUGAUGGGUGGAUCGUACUCGUCUUCUCCCAUGUCAAUAACCUGAAAAUCUGUAUGGACAAAAUCAUCUUCUAUUUUGACAGGGACAUCAGUUACUAUUCUGUAUGGAGCACUGGAUGCUUGGCAUACCUGGGUCGUCCUUCUUGGUC
Molecule: long non-coding RNA, 78983 nt
Filed under: Sorghum bicolor (sorghum)
Lineage: Eukaryota; Viridiplantae; Streptophyta; Magnoliopsida; Poales; Poaceae
Description: long non-coding RNA (SBIC_LNC008320)
Rfam family: Plant small nucleolar RNA R71 (bases 65233-65339)
Source: RNAcentral